GUUUUUUUCGUGAAAAUACGGUGGCCCGUCCGGUGGGUCCCUGCUGUCAGAUGGAGAAAUCAUUAUUUUGCAUGUACUAAGGUUGCAAUUCCUUGCUGUUGCCGUGGACCUAGUUGUCAGCCUGCCCACGUACAGUACUCUUCCGAUGGAAGUCAUUCCUUGAGCACAUUGACCACGCCGCACCGAGAGGACCAAGGCGGUGGACGACGGCGAGGCCUAGGAAGGGGAUGAUGCGGAGCCGGAGAAGAUGCGGCAGUGGAUGCCCACGAGGAGAGGAGUACAAGGGUUCACUGGUUUGGCUGCGGUGUGAGGCUGCCGUAGCCGCAGAAUAACAGGGGGUGUGGGUGAGUAGAGGGAUGCCUGGCUAGCGGUGGGAGUAGUAGGGGUAGUGAGGCCUCCGCGGCAACACAGCCAGCCACGGGAGGCAGGAGCAGGCGGCACGACCUGCGCUGGUUUGGGCGGCUGGAGCAAGAAGACCAGAAGUUGAAGAAGCACUACGGUCAUUGGAUGGACAUCGUACGGUCACUGGAGCUAGAAUCGUUCAUAUUGACUAAGUUGACAAGGCCCUCUGUCUGCGUCAACUUAGUAGGCCCAAAAGUGAGCCUCCCACAAUGGUGGGUCCGAGCUAGCAGGGGGAGUAUUUAUUUUUGUGUGCGUAAUAAGGAGGCACUUCCUUGCAUGCGAAGAUAUAGCUGGUGGGUCCGAGCUGUCAGCAGGGGGAACAUUUUUUCGCGAAAUACAGAGGCCCUUCCGGUGGGUCCCAGCUGUCAGGUGGAGGAAUUAUUAUUUUGCGCGUAAUAAGGAGGCAUUUCCUUGCAUGCGGCCGUGGACCCAGUUGUCAGCCUCUCCACGUACAGUCCACUUCCGACGGAUGUCCUUCGUUGACUGUGUUGACCGCGCCGCGCCGAGAGCACCAGGUCGGUAGACGACGGUGAGGCCUAGGAAGGGAACAACACGGAGCCGGGGAAGACUCGACAGUGGUUGCCCAUGUGGUGGGGAGUAUGAGGGUUUACUGGUUCGGAUGCUGUUGCCAGAAACCAGGAGGUGUGGGUGGGUAGAGGAAUGGCCUGGCAACCGAUGGAGUAGGGUGGGGCGGUGCGGCCUGUGCGGCAGCACAGCCGGCCAUGGGAGGCGGGAGCAGGCAGUCCCACCGGCUCUAGAUUGGGCGGCUGGAGCAAGAAGAUCAAAUAUUGAAGAAGCAUCACUGUCGUUGGAUUAAUAUCCAACGGUCACUGUUGCUAGAAUCGUUUGUGGACUAAAUUGACAAAGCCUUUCGUACACGUCAACCGAGUAGACCCACAAGUCAGCCUCCAAAUAUGUCUCAAAUAGCAUACGGCCCAAAAUUUCUAUCUAGAUUCAAAUUAAUUUAAAAACUAAACAUACCUUAACUUAAAUCGUAUGAAAUUUUACCCGCAAAAAAACAGUGAAAUUUGAAAUAUCAAAAUCUGAAAGAAAAAGUUAUUUUGGAACUAAUUGUCUAUUUGCUGUAUUUUUUCAUUUUACAGCCCAUUUAUUAUUACUUAUAGCCCAUUUCUGGGAAAGCCCGAAUGCAUCGCUCCUCGUCUUGGAAGAUUUCCGGCCCAACAAGGCGUAGAAAAGCAAGUAGGCCUACGUUGGUUAUUCUACAAAAAACCAAAUAGCUGGGCUAGCCAUUUUCAGAAAGAAAAAACAAACUAGGCAGGUCAUGUGGUAAACAUAUGAAAUAAAAGCUUGGGCUAGACGGGCCACAGCUCCCGCACAACCCAGUUGAUACCCUUCUCCAUCCUGAAAAAAAACUGCAUGCGCUACUGGGUCCCUAUUGUCAUCCUCACCAUGUACAGUCAUCUCCUUAUUCCUCUCGGUUAUUGACCAUGUUGACAACACCGGAGGGCGGCGCCGCGGUGAGCGAACUAAGGCGGCGGACAAUGGUGAGGCCUCGGACGGGAACUAACAGGAGCCGAGGAAGAUGCGCAGAUUUUUAGGGUGCGAUGUGGCCACGAUGCAUGCGCGGCAUCAUAGCCAGCCGUGGGAGGUAGGAGCAGGCGGUCCCGCCGAUGCUGGUCUGGCUUUGGCGGCUGGAGGAAGAAGAGACUGAAGAAACACGACAGGUGUUGAAUGUCAAUCCAACGGUGAAGGUUGGCACAAUCGUUUGUUGAUUAAGCCGACACCAAGCAGCAUACUUUUUUAUAUAUAGGAAGAAAAGAAAAACUGGGCUCGUUCACCUGAAAACAUUCCCGAAACUGCGACCGUUCGAUCUUGCGUUGCAACUAACACUACGAGGAAAAAUGCGUUUGUCUGCCAUCCUCCUCCCAGGGAACGUUCACCACAUAAGUGACUAGCACCCUUGGUUUUCAACUGAGAGGUCUUGGGUUUGAUUCCCAUGAACUCUCAAUUUUGUCCUCCUUCCUUCCUCGAAAAAAAAGAAAGAAAAUCAAAGACUUGAGAAGCGUACAUAACAAGCUAGUGUACCAGUAAAGAGACGUUGCUGAGUUUUAGAAAAAAGAGAGACGUGCUCCUGUAGCUGGUUCGAAUCCAAACCUAGACUAUGACUAUAUGUGGUGCUAUGCUACUCUGCAAGUAAUGAAACUGACAUAUCCAACAUUCACUUCUCCUCUUCUCUACUUAGGCCCUGUUUGGUUCAUAAGUCCUAGGACUUUUUCUAGUCCCAACUAAAAAGUCCCUAGUCCCUGAAAAGUCCCUCCCUGUUUGUUUUCAGAGACUAAAAAGUCCCUAGUCCCUUCCUAGAGGUUAUUAAAUGACCAUGUUGCCCCUAGUAUAUAGAAAAAUAACAAUCAAACAACACCAUGGGGUGGCAGGCCAAUGAAUGCAUGGAGGGGCAUUGUUGGAAAAGUCCCAAAAAGUCCCAAAAAAGACUCUCCUUGAGAGUCUUCUUCAUUUAGUCCCAAAUGCCUAGUUUAGUCCCUAAAAAGUCCCUUCCGUUUGGUAAAAAAGUCUCUAAGAGGGACUUUUUCUAGUCCCUACACAAAAAAGUCCCUGGAAACAAACACCCCCUUACUCUGCCUAGUAUUAGAUGCUCUGGCCGAAGCAACCAUGUCCGCUGGCAGCUCGUCCACCUCCUCUUCAGCAGGCAACAACCAGAUAUGCACCAACUCGCCACCCAUACCAUCGCCUGUGGGUCUNNNNNNNNNNNNNNNNNNNNNNNNNNNNNNNNNNNNNNNNNNNNNNNNNNNNNNNNNNNNNNNNNNNNNNNNNNNNNNNNNNNNNNNNNNNNNNNNNNNNNNNNNNNNNNNNNNNNNNNNNNNNNNNNNNNNNNNNNNNNNNNNNNNNNNNNNNNNNNNNNNNNNNNNNNNNNNNNNNNNNNNNNNNNNNNNNNNNNNNNNNNNNNNNNNNNNNNNNNNNNNNNNNNNNNNNNNNNNNNNNNNNNNNNNNNNNNNNNNNNNNNNNNNNNNNNNNNNNNNNNNGCCGGUUGCUCAUCGCAACCUGCUUCUGUUGGUGUGGUGCCACUACUGCAAAUCACGCAGAGUCAUCCGUCACGUCUCAACCACAAUCCUCAACCCUGGCCGAGUCUUCUACAAAUGCCUGAAUCAUGGGGUAAUAAUAUGUUUAAGUAUUGUUCUGCUACUUUCAGUUGCUGAUUCUUUUUCAAUAGUUUGGUUGAUGAUCUUCCAAUUUUAUUCAUGCAGAAAAGGGAAGAUUUGUGUGAUUUGUAUUUCUAGGAAGUUGCUGAUGUGGGGGAAUGCAACUAUGCUGAUUAUUUGGUUAGCCGAGGAAUCUCAAUACCAGCAGGUUGGGGUGUUGGACAAGUAAUUGAAGGAACGACAGAAGAGGAAGAUGCAUAGCAGAAGGUUAAAGAUGUAGUUCCUCUAAUCAUGGCCAAGCAACAGCUGCUGAACGGCCUUGACAGCAAUGAAGAGAUGAAAGAGCUUGUGAAGAUAAUGCGCAAAAUCGAUGUGCUCUGUAGGAUGACUGUCUAUUUAUUUGCUAUGUACGUAGCACUCGUGAUGUAUUCAGUGGCUAUGACAUGAGCACUUUGCUGAAACUAGUAAUGAAUGAAACCUGUUUAACAGGCUGGGCGUAGUGUUGUGAAUAUCUAAUGAUUUCUAUUAACGGAAAUCGGGGGGUAUCCCCUUUUGCUCGUAAGUAAAUAAAUAGUAGAGGCCCUUUUGCUAAUAAAUAGAAAAAUUAGCAGAGGCCCUGUCGGGUCAGCUUUGUUCCCAUUCGAAGACGUUGAGCAAAUUGCACUCCAACAGCAAACUAUUUUGUCAAAUUCAAGUCUCAUAGCCAAAUAUGAGUACAACUAAACAACAAUGUCGUCAUGUUUUAGUUGUCAUACAAUCACCAAACACAAAUCAACAUACAUAAUAAGUGAUGUUCUCACAGCAAAAUACUAAACAACAAGUUCAUGAGGUUUUAGUUGUCAUAGCAAACACAAUUUCACAUAGUAGAUAAAAAACAUCUUCUGAUAGACAAAUACAACAAAAGCAAUCUAAUCAUCAUCCGCAGCAGCAGUGUUUGAAUCGUAAUUCCUUAUAGUGUCAUAUUCUUCUUCAUCCUAAAUGUCCUCGAACAUUGGCUUCUUAUUGAUCAACUCUUGUAUGUCCACAGCCCGACAGGCAAUCUUUUCGCCAGCGUCAUUGAAGUGAUGGUUCUCAAACAUAUUAUGAACAUCUGUGGAAUCUUGUACAUCAGCAGCAGUGUAAGCAUCAUCUUGUUGUGCAACUUCAUUAAACAAUUCCUCUUCUCAAACCUUUGCAAUACUCUCCAGUCAUCGCUACGUGCAAAUGUGUCUUCCAAGAAAAAUAUUUGUGUUGCUUGAUUUGCCAAAAUAAAAGGCUCCUUGGUCUAGUACGCCACCUUAACAUUGAUGGAUUUGAAAUAAUCAUCAGCUCUGGGUUUUGCGAUCUUGGAAAACAGGUUAUACCAACGACAGCACAACAGAACCACACACCGAUGAACCUCAAAACUGGAGAUAUACUGCAACUAAACAACAUCUGUUAUGUUAGCAUACAUUUAAGUUGUCACUUAGCCGUACUUAUCCGUGCUCAUGAUGGCACUGUUUUGUGUCUUCCAGCCUUUGUCGCUUGCAAGGGUGUUGUAGCGCACAUCUCCAACAAUGCAAGAUUCAUAAUGUCUUACCCGAGUAUCAGGACCCAUUGCUAGUGCGUAAAGGGCAUCAUCAACUGCCUGCCCAUCCUCCCGCAUCUUCUUAACCUACGGUUAGAAAAUAGACAAGCUGGUCGUCUUAUGUACUCAAUAUAUUAAAAAACGACAGUGCAAUUCAAAAGCUUACAUGUCUCUUGAACCAUUUCGCAAAUCCUGCCAUAACUAGUUUGUCAAUGUUUUUUGGAUUUUGCGGCAGCAACUCCAUUUUGUAGAUGCUGCACAACAUAGUGAUCGUGUCAAACAUCUAAAUUUAUAAGAAUGUGCUGCAAGUUUAGUAGAUUAUGUUGUAUGAACUGCAGUACUUAGUACUUACUUCAUAUAAGGUAGUAUCUCAGGACAGUUAUUCAACACAGACCCAACCAUUUUGUCCAAAUCUUUAGGUUUGUUGUCUUGUCGACUCUUCCCUGUAACUCAAACAGAACAAUCAAAAACAUUGAGUCCGGGAUUGUCUUCACCCACCUCUUUGCUAAGCUGAUUAGCUGUUACAAUGUAUUUUGAGCAGAAUGCCAAUGCUUUUGUAGCAAUGUAGGCCUCUUCAAUGGAACCCUCGGGUCUAGCUCUAUUCCUAGCAUAGCCCUUGAAAGUGCCUAGCAGCCUUUCAAUAGGGUACAGCCAUACUGUAUUGGACCUCUAAGUAGUGCCUCAUCAGGAAGAUGAACAACCAAAUGCACCAUCACAUCAAAGAAGGCUGGAGGAUAUAUAUUCUCAAGGUCGCAUAGGAUUGUUGGUAUCUUGUCUCUAAGACGCUCCAAAGCAUCUAUCCUGAUAUUUGUACUGCAGAGUUCCCUGAAGAAUUGUCCCAACUCUGCAACUGCUCUAUAUAAGUCGGGGCGGCCCAAUCCUCUAAGGAUAAUAGGUAAAACCCUUUGAAGUAGGACAUGGCAGUCAUGAGUUUUCAACCCUUGUACCUUGUUUCCAUCUGCACUGACUCUCCUUUCAGGGUUGGAAGCAAAUCCAUGCGGGAAUCUCACACGUGACAAGACCUCACAGAAUUGUUUUCUUUUUACCUUGUCCAAGACGUACAUAGCUGGUGUCAUAUCAUGUGGUUUACCUUCAUCUUGCACCUGCAAAUCCUUUCUGAUACCCAGGUGUGUCAAAUCAAUCCUGGAUUUUAAGGUAUCUAUCAUCUUGCCUUCAAUAUUAAUAAGUGUGCCGAUAAUGUUGUCACAUAUAUUUUCUCUAUGUGCACAUCAAGAUUAUGCCGUAGAUACAAAUCUUUCAAAUACUCCAAGUCCCACAAAGUGGACCUGCGGGAAACAAUAAUCUCACUUCUGCCCUACCACGCUUCCUUUUCCCGCUACCAUUAUUAGGAUGGUUUCCUGGUGUAAUAUGUCUGACCUUCUCUAAUUCCACUUGCAACUCAUCGGCGGUGAGCCUCUUCGGCGCAUCACGGUUUUCAUGCUUUGCAUUGAACACAUGUCUUCGGUAUUUUGUAGGACGUGACUUGUCCUUGGCAAGGAAACGGUGGUGUCCAAUGUAACAGAUCUUGCUAAGUAUUGCAUAUGACAGCGGAUUCCUGUCACAAUGAACACAUGCAUUCUAACCAUGUGUCGUUCGCCCUGACAUAGUGCCCAAAGCCGGAUAAUCAUGGAUGCACCAAAUUAUAACAGCACGCGGAAAUAAAUCAGCUAGUGGGCUGCUAUAUAGGUCUCAAGUGAGAACACCCCUCCAUAGUUGUUGAAGUUCCUCCACAAGAGGCUCCAUGAAUAAAUAAAAAUCCUUUCCAGGACUUUUUGGACCUGGGAUGAGCAAGGCCAUCAUGUAGAUUGAUUCCUUGGUGCAGACAUUUGGAGGCAUGUUGUAAGGGAUAACAAGCACUGGCCACAUGCUAUAUGUGGCACUAUAGUGGCCAAAUGGGUUAAAUCCAUUUGAAGCUAAGCCAAGUCUAAUGUUUCUCGGUCAGCAGCAAACUUUUUGUGGUUCUGAUUGAAGCUUUUCUGGUCACUACCAUGAGAUGGAUGGCUCAUUAUAUUCUGAUCUCUGUACUCUUGGUUCCUAGAAUGCCACAGUACAUCCUCUCUUGUUUCAGCGUCAUGAAACAACCUCUGCAAUCUUGGUAUAAUUGGAAAAUGUCUUAGAACAUUAUGAGGAAUCCUCUUCAUAGCAUUGCCAUCUUUCCAUCUUGAUGAUUUGCAUUUCGGGCAUUCACUUAAGUUAGCAUAAUCCUUCCAUAAUAGAACACAAUUAUUCUUACAAACAUGGAUCAUAUCAUAUCCAAUUCCAAGUGCAUGAAGGAAAUUAUUCAUUUUACUGUAGGUGUGUGGCAACUGAGGCGCAUCUGGGAAAGAUUUGCGGAAAGCAGCCAACAUUGCGAAUGAUUUCUUUGGUCAUCCGCUCAGAUGUCUUCACCUAAAGAAAGGUGACCAUAGCUGAGAAUACUGACAGCUUACUUCCUGGGGUGACAGCCACGUUGCAUUGUUCCAACAUGCGGGCCCACCGUUUUUCUUCUGCAGGUGAAAGUUCAUGAAAUGCACGAGCAUUUCAUAGCAUUGUUUCAAUGUUCGUCAAAUUGACUGGCUCCGCCACCACCACCUCCCCCUCCUCUUCCACCUAAGCAUCAGGCAGAUCAAGAUGGUGAUCUGCUGCUUCCACAUAGUCAGUAACAUUGGAGUUCACAGCUUCGCCAUGAUGAACCCACCUACUAUAUGUGACCGACAUCCCAUACAAGUGUAGAUGAUUUUGCAUAGUUGACUGGGGUCUUGUAACUGAAUUCAUACAACUGCUACACGGGCAGAGCACAUCUGAUUUCAGACCACCGUACUCAGCUCUGGUAAAGUUCAUGAAGUUUUCAACCCCCUCGGCAUAUGCAGCAGAGAAUCUUCGAGCAAAAGUUAUCCAAGUCCUUUCCAGCUGUUAGACAUACAAAUUAGUUCUUCCACUAGACAGGAAAAACAUAUAUGCUUUUUUAUGAAGUCCAAAAAAAAAUACCCAGGUCGAUGUCUGAUACGUCCAUUUUGCAUCAAGUUUUCCUAUUGUUAUUUAUGAUGUUUUUAUGCACAAUAAUGCUUUUUGGAGUAAUUCUAAUGCCUUUUCUCUCAUAAUAUGCAAGGUAUACACAAAGAUGGAGAAUUCUAGCAGUUGGAAAUCUGGACCAGGAAAAGCUACGUCAGGCCACCUAUCCUGCAGAACUCUAAAUAAGUUGAAAUUCACGGGGAAUUUUUAUGGAAUAAAUGAGGAAUAUUGGAGCCAAUAAGUACCAAAGGGGCCCCACCAGGUGGGCACAACCCGCCUGGGCGCGCCAGGGAGCCCAGGCACGCCCUGGUGGGUUGUGCUCCCCUCGGCCGACCUCCGGUGCCCAUCUUCUGGUAUAUAAGUCAUUUUGACCUAGAAACAAUAAGGAGAGUACUUUAGGGACGGAGCGCCACCGUCUCGAGGCGGGACUCGGGCAAGAGCACUUUUGCCCUCCGGUGGAGCGAUUCAGCUGGGGGAACUUCUCUCCCGGAGGGGGAAAUCAUCGUCAUCAUCAUCACCAACAACUCUCCCAUCUUGGGGAGGGCAAUCUCCAUCAACAUCUUCAACAACACCAUCUCCUCUCAAACCCUUGUUCAUCUCUUGUGUUCAAUCUUUGUACCAGAACUAUAGAUUGGUGCUUGUGGGUGACUAGUAGUGUUGAUUACAUCUUGUAGUUGAUUACCAUAUGGUUUAUUUGGUGGAAGAUUAUAUGUUCAGAUCCAAUAUGCUAUUUAAUACCCCUAUGAUCUUGAGCAUGAUUAUCAUUUGUGAGUAGUUACUUUUGUUCUUGAGGUCACGAGAGAAAUCAUGUUGCAAGUAAUCAUGUGAACUUGAUAUGUGUUCGAUAUUUUGAUAGUAUGUAUGUUGUGAUUCCCUUAGUGGUGUCAUGUGAACAUCGACUACAUGACACUUCACCAUGUUUGGGCUUAAGGGAAUGCAUUGUGUAGUAGUUAUUAGAUGAUGGGUUGUGAGACUGACAGAAGCUUAAACCCUAGUUUAUGCGCUAUUCCGUAAGGGCCUAUUGGAUCCAAAAGUUUAAUGCUAUGGUUAGAAUUUAUUCUUAAUACUUUUCUCGUAGUUGCAGAUGCUUGCGAGGGGGUUAAUCAUAAGUAGGAAGUUUCUUCAAGUAAGAACAGCACCUAAGCACCGAUCCACCCACAUAUCAAAUUAUCAAAGUAGCGAACACGAAUCCAACCAACAUGAUGAAAGUGACUAGAUGAAAUUCCCGUGUACCCUCAAGAACGCUUUGGUUAUUAUAAAAGACCGUUUUGGCCUGUCCUUUGCCUCAAAAGGAUUGGGCUACCAUGCUGCACUUUUGUUACUAUUAUCGUUACUUGCUCGUUACCAAAUAUCUUGCUAUGAAACUACUCUGUUACUUACAAUUUCAGCACUUUCAGACAUUGCCUUGCUGAAAACCACUUGUCAUUUCCUUCUGCUCCUCGUUGGGUUCGACACUCUUACUUAUUGAAAAAGGCUACAAUUGAUACCCUAUACUUGUGGAUCAUCAAGGCCAUUUUCUGGCGCCAUUGCCAGGGAGUGAAGCGCUCUUGGUAAGUGGAAAUUGGUAAGGAAAAACUAUUACUACAUGCUGUAAUUUAUUGUCACUUGUUACUAUGGAAAACAAUCCUUUGAGGGGUUUGUUCGGGGUAUCUUCACCUCGACCGGAACCACAAUUAGUUACCCCUCAACCUACUGACCCUAAUGAAAAUAUUGAAUCUGAAAUACCUUCGGGUAUGAUAGAACAACUGCUAGAUAAUCCUUAUAUAGGAGAUGGAACCGAACAUCCUGAUAUGCACUUAAUGUAUGUGGAACAAAUUUGUGGAUUGUUUAAGCUUGCAGGUUUACCCGAAGAGGAAGUUAUGAAGAAGGUUUUCCCUUUAUCUUUUAAGGGAAAACCAUUGGGAUGGUAUAGGCUAUGCGAUGAUAUUGGAUCUUGGAAUUGGAAUCGAUUGAAAUUGGUGUGUCACCAAAAAAAUAUCCUAUGCAUCUAGUUCAUCAUGAUCGGAAUUACAUAUAUAAUUUCUGGCCUCUUGAAGCAGAAAGUAUCGCUCUAGAUUGGAGGAGGCUUAAUUCAAUGUUAUAUUCAUGCCCCAAUAAUGAGGUCUGAAGAGAAAUUAUUAUCCAGAAUUUCUAUGCUCGGCUUUAUCAUAAUGAUCGAUGCAUGCUUGAUACUUCUUGUGUUGGUUCUUUUAUGAAGAAGACUAUUGAAUUCUAGUGGGAUCUUUUGGAAAGAAUUAAAGGCAACUCUAAAGAUUGUGAACUCUACGAAGGUAAAGAGUCAGAUAUUAAGCUUAAGUAUGAUUGUGUUAAAUCUUUUAUAAAUACCGAUGCUUUUCAAAAGUUUAGCACUAAAUAUGGACUUGACUCUGAGAUAGUAGCCUCCUUUUGUGAAUCAUUUUCUACUCAUGUUGAUCUCCCUAAGGAGAAGUGGUUUAAAUAUCACCCACCUAUUAAAGAAGAAAUUAAAGAACAUGUACCAACUAAAGAGGAAACUAUUAUUUAUAAUGUUGAUCCAGUUGUUCCUACUGCUUAUAUUGAGAAACCACCAUUCCCUGUUAGGAUAAAUGAACGUGCUACAGUUUAAACUAUGGUCAACAAAAGUUAUAUUAGAACACCUAAACUUGAUGACCAAAUCAAAGUACAACCUAGUGUUUCUAUGGUUAAAGAUAUUCUGGAAGAAAACAUAGAUGGGUAUGUUAUUUAUUUCUGUGAUGAAGCUGCUAGAAUUGCCAAACCUGAUGGUAAAGAUAAACACGGACAUGUUGUUGGCAUGCCCGUUCUCUCAGUUAAAAUAGGAGAUCACCGUUAUCAUGGCUUAUGGGACAUAGGUGCUAGCAUGAGUGUUAUUCCCUUUACUUUAUAUCAAGAACUUAUGAAUGACAUAGCACCCGCAGAGAUAGAAGACAUAGAUGUUACUACUAAACUUGCUAAUAGAGACACUAUUUCACCAAUUGGGAUUGUUAGAGAUGUUGAAGUCUUGUGUGGGAAAAUAAAAUAUCCUACUGAUUUUCUUGUUCUUGGUUCCCCAAAAGAUGAUUUUUGUCCCAUUAUCUUUGGUAGACCUUUCUUGAACACCGUCCAUGCUAAAAUAGAUUGUGAGAAACAAAUUGUCAGUGUCAGCUUUGGUGAUGAGUCUCAUGAGUUUAAUAUUUUCAAUUUUAGUAGAAAACCUCAUAAAAAUAAUUUCCUAGUAAGGAUGAAAUAAUUGGUCUUGCUUCUAUUGUUGUGCCUUCUACUGAUCCUUUAGAACAAUACCUGUUAGACCAUGAAAAUGAUGUACAUAUGCAUGAAAGAAAUGAAAUAGAUAAUAUCUUAUUUGAACAACUGAUACGUCUCCAAUGUAUCUACUUUUCCAAACACUUUUUCCCUUGUUUUGGACUCUAACUUGCAUGAUUUGAAUAAAACUAACCCGGACUGACACUGUUUUCAGCAAGACUGCCAUGGUGUUAUUUUUGUGAAGAAAAAAAGUUCUCAGAAUGACCUGAAAAUCCACGGAGAUUAUUUUUGGAAAAUAUAAAAAAUACUGGUGAAAGAAUCAAGGCCAGGGGGCCCAUACCCUGUCCACGAGGGUGGGGGCGUGCCCCCUCCCCCUAGGCGCGCCCCACUAUCUCGUGGGGCCCCUGGAUGUCCACCGACCUCAACUCCAACUCCAUAUAUUCUCUUUCGUGGAGAAAAAAAUCAGAGAGAAAGUUUCAUCGCGUUUUACGAUAUGGAGCUGCCGCCAAGCCCUAAUCUCUCUCGGGAGGGCUGAUUUGGAGUCCGUUCGGGUCUCCGAAGAGGGGGAUUCGUCACCGUCAUAGACACACCUGUUGUAGACACACCUGUUGUAGACACUCCUGAGAAUCCCAAUGAUAUUUCUAUUUCUGAUGCUGAAACACAAUCUGGUGAUGAACAUGAACCUAAUGAUAAUGUUCAUGUUGAUGCUCAACCUAGCAAUAAUAAUGAUGUAGAGAUGGAACCUGUUGUUGAUCUUGAUAACCCACAAUCAAAGAAUUAAUGUUAUGAUAAAAGAGACUUUGUUGCUAGGAAGCAUGGUAAAGAAAGAGAACCAUGGGUUCAGAAACCCAUGCCUUUUCCUCCUAAACCAUCCAAGAAAAAGGAUGAUGAGGAUUUUGAGCGCUUUGCUGAAAUGAUUAGACCUACCUUCUUACGUAUGUGCUUAACUGAUAUGCUUAAAGUGAACCCUUAUGCUAAAUACAUGAAAGAUAUUAUUACAAAUAAAAGAAGGAUACCGGAAGCUGAAAUUUUCACCAUGCUUGCUAGUUAUACUUUUAAGGGUGGAAUACCUAAGAAACUUGGAGAUCCAGGAGUACCAACUAUACCAUGCUCCAUUAAAAGAAACUAUGUUAAAACUGCUUUAUGUGAUCUUGGAGCCGGUGUUAGUGUUAUGCCCCUCUCUUUAUAUCAUAGACUUGAAUUGAAUAAGUUUACACAUACUGAAAUAUCUUUGCAAAUGACCGAUAAAUCAACUGCUAUACCUGUCGGUAUUUGUGAGGAUGUGCCUGUUGUGUUUGCAAACGUUACUAUCUUAACGGACUUUGUUAUUCUUGAUAUUCCCAAGGAUGAUAGUAUGUCAAUUAUCCUUGGUAGACCCUUUUUGGAUACUGCAGGGGCUGUUAUUGAUUGCAACAAAGGCAAUGUCACUUUUCAUGUUAAUGGUAAUGAGCAUACGGUACACUUUCCGAGGAAACAACCUCAAGUUCAUAGCAUCAAUUCUAUUGGAAAAAAAUUCAACUAUUAUUAUUGGAGGUUUUGAAUUUCCUCUUCCUACUGCCAAGAAGAAAUAUGAUAUUCUUAUUAUAGGGGAUGUUCAUAUCCCUGUUGAGGUAACCUAGUGUUAUUCGAAAUUUCUCCGGUUCCAUGUUAUUCGGAAUGAGUUUGUUAACAAGACUUGAUCAACCUUGUUAGUGGAUUCCUUUUGAUGAUCAUGAGAUGGAUGAAACUAGAAGGCACAACCUUCUAUACCCUCUUUUUACUUUCUGUUAUUUAGAAUAAAUAAAUCAAAAAUAGUAUUAUCUGUCUGUUUUCUGAAUUAUCCAUGCAAUAAAAAAUUACCCUGAAAAUAAAAGUUCUCCAAAUGCCCUGAAAAUGAAAUGUGAUUUUUUCUAGAAUAUUUGAGAAUGUUUGGUACUGAGAACACAACAGGGAGGAGGCUAGCGAGUACGGAAGGAGGACGGAGGCAGUUCGCCUCCAAGCUGCAGCUCAUGAGGCAAUGGCUGCUGCAUCCCAGUACGACCCCAGCUACCACUUUGAUCAAUGCGCGUAGACCAACUUAGGACAAAAGCCUAAGCUUGGGGGAGUAUGUAUUUCUCAUCGACAUUACAUUCAUGUUCACACACUCAUUCUAGUUGUCGGUGCUCAUACUUUUUCAUUGUACUAUCCAUGCUAGUUUAAUUUAUUUUUCUUGCUUUCUUCUUGUGUGUUUGAACAACCUUCAGAAAAACCAAAAAAAUAGUUGUAGCAUUUGGCUAGUUUAUUUUCCAUGCUUGUUGUAGUAUAAUUAAUAGAAAACCCAAAAACAUUUCUCGUUCUUCUUUUGCUUGUUGGGAGAUUUCCCGUGUAAAUAGUUUAUUUCUUUUCUUUGGGGGUCGAGAGGAGAAGACCAUAAUGAAAAUGUUUAGUGGCUCUCAUAUGCAUGAUAGUUGAUUUAACCAAGAGCCCAUAUUACCUUGUCUUCUCCCUUGAAUUGAAUGCUUGCAGAUUCCAGCUUAGUCCAAAGCACGUGCACUAUUAUUAUUGUACACACCGUUCGGUCGUGCAAGUGAAAGGAAAUAAUGACGACAUAUGAUGGAUUGAUUGAGAUGAGAAAAGCUGGUAUGAACUCGACCUCUCUUGUUUUUGUAAAUAUGAUUAGUUCAUCAUUCCUGAUCCAGCCUAUUAUGAAUAAACAUGUUUGCAAUGACAAUUAUAGAUUAUAGUUGCUUAUGCCAUGCUUAAUUAGCUAGGAGCUUAUAAUGGUUUACCUUGCGUGCCAACAUGCUAUUAAAAUGGUUGUGAUGUGGUAUGAUAGGGUGGUAUCCUCCUUUGAAUGAUUCGAGUGACUUGACUUGGCACAUGUUCACGCAUGUAGUUGAAACAAAUCAACAUAGCCUUCACGAUAUUUAUGUUCAUGGUGGAUUAUAUCCUACUCAUGCUUGCACUCGGUAUUGAUUAAUUUUAAUGCAUGUUCAUGACUAUUGUCGCUCUCUCAGUUGGUCGCUUCCCAGUCUUUUGCUAGCCUUCACCAGUACUAAGCGAGAAUACUACUUGAGCAUCCAAACUCCAUAAACCCCAAAGUUAUUCCAUAUGAGUCCACCAUACCUUCCUAUACGUGGUAUUUACCUGCCGUUCCAAGUAAAUUUGUAUGUGCCACACUCCAAACCUUCAAAUGAAAUUCUGUUUUGUAUGCUCGAGCAGCUCAUGUAUCAACUAGGGCUAUCUAUAUCUUCCAUGUUAGGUGGGUUAUUCUCAAGGGGAGUUGACUCCGCUCCUCAUUCACGAGAAAAUGGCUUGUAACUGGGAUGCCCAGUCCCAUGAUCAAAAAGAUCAAAGCAAAUCAAAAUAAUAAAACAAAACUCCCCCAGGAUUGUUGCUAGUUGGAGGCACCCGUUGUUUCGGGCAAGCCAUGGAUUGAUGCUUGUUGGUGGUGGGGGAGUAUAAACUUUACCAUUCUGUUUGGGAACCGCCUAUAAUGUGUGUAGCAUGGAAGAUAUCGAGAUCUCAUAGUUGUUGCGUUGAUAGUGAAAGUAUACCACUCAAAAUGUUAUUCAUCUCUAUUUUAAAAUCGAGCUCUAGCACCUCUACAAAUCCCUGCUUCCCUCUGCGAAGGGCCUAUCUAUUUACUUUUAUGUUGAGUCAUCACCCUCUUAUUAAAAAGCACCCGCUAGAGAGCACACUGUCAUUUGCAUGCAUUACUAUUAGUUUAUAUUGGGUAUGACUUGACUGGAUCUCUUUUACCAUGAAUUACUAUGUUUAGUCAGUCCUUGAUCUUUAAAGGUGCUCUACAUUUAUGUUUUGCGGUCUCAGAAAGGGCUAGCGAGAUACCAUCUUGUUAUAUCAUAUUAUGAUUGUUUUGAGAAAGUGUUGUCAUCUGAGAUUUAUUAUUAUUGCUCGCUAGUUGAUUAUGACAUUGAUAUGAGUAAACAUGAGACCUAAGUUUUAUUGUGAAUAUGGUUAGUUCAUAAUCUUUGCUGAAAACUUGAAUGCUGGCUUUACAUAUUUACAACAACAAGAGCAAAUAGAGUUUGUAGAAGUUUUUCUUUAUCACUUUCAGUUUAUCAACUGAAUUACUUGAGGACAAGCAAAGAUUUAAGCUUGGGGGAGUUGAUAUGUCUCCAACGUAUCUACUUUUCCAAACACUUUUGCCCUUGUAUUGGACUCUAACUUGCAUGAUUUGAAUGAAACUAACCCGGACUGACGCUGUUUUCAGCAGAACUGCCAUGGUGUUAUUUUUAUGCAGAAACAAAAGUUCUCGGAAUGACCUGAAAAUCCAUGGUGUUAUUUUUGGAAAAUAUAAAAAAUACUAGCGAAAGAAUUAAGGCCAGGGGGCCCACACCCUGUCCACGAGGGUGGGGGCGCGCCCAGGGGCACGCCCCCUGCCUCGUGGGCCCCCUGGAUGUCCGCCGACCUCAACUCCAACUCCAUAUAUUCUCUCUCACGGAGAAAAAAAUUAGAGAGAAAGUUUCAUCGCGUUUUACGAUACGGAGCCGCCACCAAGCCCUAAUCUCUCUCGGGAGGGCUGGUCUGGAGUCUGUUCGGGGCUCCGGAGAGGGGGAUUCGUCGCCGUCGUCAUCAUCAACCAUCCUCCAUCACCAAUUUCAUGAUGCUCACCGCCGUGCGUGAGUAAUUCCAUCGUAGGCUUGCUGGACGGUGAUGGGUUGGAUGAGGUUUACCAUGCAAUCAAGUUAGUUUUGUUGGGGUUUGAUCUCUAGUAUCCACUAUGUUCUGAGAUUGAUGUUUCUAUGACUUUGCUAUGCUUAAUGCUUGUCACUAGGGCCCGAGUGCCAUGAUUUCAGAUCUGAACCUAUUAUGUUUUCAUGAAUAUAUGUGAGUUCUUGAUCCUAUCUUGCAAGUCUAUAGUCAUCUAUUAUGUGUUAUGAUCCGACAACCCCGAAGUGACAAUAAUCGGGAUACUUCUCGGUGAUGACCGUAGUUUGAGGAGUUCAUGUAUUCACUAUGUGUUAAUCCUUUGGUCCGGUACUCUAUUAAAAGGAGGCCUUAAUAUCCCUUAGUUUCCACUAGGACCCCGCUGCCACGGGAGGGUAGGACAAAAGAUGUCAUGCAAGUUCUUUUCCAUAAGCACAUAUGACUAUAUUCGGAAUACAUGCCUACAUUACAUUGAUGAACUGGAGCUAGUUCUAUGUCACCUAUGUUAUAACUGUUACAUGAUGAACCGCAUCAGACAUAAUUAUCCAUCACUGAUCCAAUGCCUACGAGCUUUUCACAUAUUGUUCGUUGCUUAUUUACUUUACCGUUGCUACUGUUAAAAUUGCUACAAAACUGCUAUCGUUACUUUUGCUACUAUUACCGUUACUAUCAUACUACUUUGCUACUAAAUACUUUGCUGCAGAUACUAAGUUAUCCAAGUGUGGCUGAAUGGACAACUCAACUACUAAUACUUGUGAAUAUUCUUUGGCUCCCCUUGUGUCGAAUCAAUAAAUUUGGGUUGAAUACUCUACCCUCAAAAACUGUUGCUAUCCCCUAUAUGUGUGGGUUAUCAACAACGUCCUCUACUUAAACACAAUUUGCCGAUUGAAACUCUAGGAGGUAGUCCUCCACCUAAAGGUGAUCCUGUGUUGUAAUUAAAACAAUUGCCAGACACUCUGAAAUAUGCUUAUCUUGAUGAAAAGAAGAUAUAUCCUGUUAUUAUUAGUGCUAACCUUUCAGAACAUGAAGAGGAAAGAUUAUUGAAAGUUCUAAGGAAGCACCGAGCUGCUAUUGGAUAUACUCUUGAUGAUUUAAAGGGCAUUAGUCCCACUCUAUGUCAGCACAAGAUUAAUAUGGAACCUAAUAGUAAACCCAUUGUUGAUCACCAAUGCUGGUUAAAUCCGAAGAUGAAGGAAGUGGUAAGAACGGAAAUAUUAAAACUUCUAGAAGCAGGUAUAAUCUAUCCUAUAGCUGAUAAUAGAUGGGUAAGUCCUAUCCAUUGUGUCCCUAAGAAAGAAGGUAUUACUGUUGUUCCUAAUGAUAAGAAUGAACUUAUUCCACAAAGAAUUGUUACAGGCUAUAGAAUGGUAAUGAUUUUAGAAAAUUAAACAAAGCAACUAGAAAAGAUCAUUAACCUCUGCCUUUUAUUGAUCAAAUGCUAGAAAGUUUAUCUAAGCACACACAUUUUUGCUUCCUUGAUGGAUAUUCUGGUUUUUCACAAAUACCUGUUUCUCAACCUGAUCAAGAAAAGACCACUUUCAUUUGUCCCUUUGGAACUUAUGCUUAUAGACGUAUGCCUUUUGGUUUAUGCAAUGCACCUGCUACAUCUCAAUGAUGUAUGAAUGCUAUAUUCUCUGAUUUUUGUGAAAAGAUUGUUGAGGUUUUCAUGGAUGACUUUUCUGUUUAUGGGAAGUCUUUUGAUGAUUGUUUAAGCAAUCUUGAUCGAGUUUUGCAGAGAUGCGAGCAAACGAAUCUUGUCUUGAAUUGGGAGAAGUGUCACUCUAUGGUUAAUGAAGGUGUUGUCUUGGGCCAUAAAAUUUCUGAAAGAGGUAUUGAGGUGGAUAAGGCUAAGGUUGAUGCAAUUGAGAAAAUGCCAUGUCCUAAAGAUACCAAAGGUAUUCGUAGUUUCUUAGGUCAUGUUGGUUUCUAUAUCGACACUCUUACUUAUUGAAAAGGCUACAAUUGAUCCCCUAUACUUUUGGGUCAUCAAUGUCUAAAGUAUGGCAAGAUAUUUGGACAAGCAGAUCUAGGUAACUAAAUAUAUGUAAAGCUAAUUCAGCAAACAGAUUUGAGUGCUAAAUUAUGGCAGGCUGUUUCAGCAGUCAAUGAGGCCAAGCACACAGCCAUCAAAGGCCAUCUCAGCAACAAAGAUUGAGUAUAAAAUGGUGUAGAGCUAUUUCACCGAACAGAUUGGCUACUAGACCAUGGCAAUCUCCGUCACAAUAAAUAUAUGGCAGGAUAUUUUAGCAACUAAUUGGGCUUGGCAUGCCAUCUCAGCUAAGCAGAUUAAGUGCAUAACAGGGCAAGGAAGUUUAAGCACAGCAUAUUGAAUGUAAACUACUUCGAGAAACAGUGAGAUUAACAGCGUCUAUCAGCUAACAUUCAACGCUACACCGACAUGCACGAGGCCUUAGUCUAGAAUGCGCGUACCGUGGGAGAAGUUGACCGCUGUGCAUAUCCACAAGAAUGUCCCUAGCGGUGGCGGUGCAGACCGCAGUGCGUCUGCACAAGAACGUCACCAGUGGUGGCAGCGUGGCUAGAGGACGACAGUCUAUGAAAGCGUAUUGUGGGAGCGAGAGGAUCACCGUGCGUCCCCUCGAUGAACCGCGGCGCCGGCGUAUCGGUGCGGCGGGGAGGGCGGCUUUAGCGGGGCGAAUGGAGUGGAGGGNNNNNNNNNNNNNNNNNNNNNNNNNNNNNNNNNNNNNNNNNNNNNNNNNNNNNNNNNNNNNNNNNNNNNNNNNNNNNNNNNNNNNNNNNNNNNNNNNNNNNNNNNNNNNNNNNNNNNNNNNNNNNNNNNNNNNNNNNNNNNNNNNNNNNNNNNNNNNNNNNNNNNNNNNNNNNNNNNNNGGGGGUUGCGCGGUGGGAUUUUAGCGGUUUGGCGCAUGGUCGGUUUCUCCAAUUGCAGUCCCAUGUAUUAGUGAAGAGGCAAGCAUAAGCGUGUUCCGUUUGUGUGAGCUGUUUGCAGGACCGACCGUGUGUGGGGUGCAAUGCGACCGCGACAGGCGUGUUGUGAGUGUAUCGCCUUUUUUCCUUUUAAACUUGGUGCUUCGCCCCCUAAAAAAACUUGGUGCUUCACGCGAUCCUUCGAUACUACUACUAGUAAUCUGGUAAUCACGACUAAAAUGGCGUGGCCGGGUCUUUUCCCGCGUGAUAUGCUAGGAGGUUGGCUUAGUUGGUUUUUUAGGACGAGUAAUGCUACACCUACGUAAUCCCAGUUACGUAAUUAAAAUAAUGUGAAAUGUGAGAGCUAUUGAUUGUAGAUCGGGGGGAGGGAGGGGCCCACCACCAUGAAAAUGAGGGGGGAGAGAGAGGCAAUUUACAUUAACCCUUUCAUAGGUUCCCAUAGAUGUAGAAAGAUGUGAAAUGCGUGAAUGUGUAGUGGACGUACUAUUGGAGUGCCUAAGAUAAAUUGUGUAUGCAGACCCUAUGUGUUUAUUUACUUCGCAUGUUAGCUUUAUCUCGGGUAAAACAUUCUAAGUUUAUACACACAAAAACGAAUCAUCAUUCCAUAUAUCUUACUAUGAUUGUGAAAGUUCAUAUACACCGGACGAGAUUAAUGCAAACAUGACAGAUUUUCAUUACAUUUCGAACUUUUAUAGGACAGAAAAAUAAAAGAAACCCGACCCUAAACCUAUUCUAUGGCGGCGACCGACGUCCUCCAUCUGCGAUAUCCAUGUACAGGGGCGGGGUUCAAGACCCGUGAAGUGAAAGUGCGGUCUCCGGCAAGGAAGAGUAGAGCAUGGGAGAAGGACCGGACAGUUGGCACACCAUGCCCUGCCACCUCCCAUGCCCUACUCAUACUCGGAGGAGUCCCCGACCUCGCCAGUGCCGGUGGAUGUGAGGUCGAUGAUGAUGGAUGUGGACGGUGAGUCGCUUCACCUACCACAUGCGCGAUCGAACAUUGGACGGCAACAAGUAGGACGCGUGGCUGACGGUGCACCUGUCAUCGGCCGCCAGCGUGGCCACCGCUUGUGUGGUCGCGUCCGCAUCCAGCUAUGCCGCUAUUGCAUCACAAGCGGCAACUUGAGCGAGGGCGGCGACCUCGAGCUUUAUCCCCAAAGACAAGAUCUCCCGCAGAGCGUUCACGCUUGCGGUCCUGGUGGAUGUGGUGCCAUGUAGCAGCACAAUGCGCUAUGGUGCGGAGUUUAUCUGCCCGUUGCUGCUUUAAGUAGCGCAUUCCGGUGAGGCCAAGCAUCCGUGUGUGUCAUUAAGUCACCGAAGUUGGUUCCUCGCGCACCGAGCCUCUUAAUGACGGCAUACGGAUGGACGACAUAAAUGCGGGCAGCUGGCGUCGACUGAGAACACACCGCAUGACGGCAGAGGGACGAGGGUUUUUUGUGUGCCAGGGUAGUUAGCUGCGGUCGUGGCAACGUUGGAGAUGCCCUUUGCUCAAUGCAAUUCCCGCAUGUCAUUGAAAAAGCAAGACGACCCGGCAUGGUCAGUUGGUCGUGCUACAACACUCCGCGGAUGCGUCGCGGUGCGCGCGCGCACUUUGGCGCCCCGUGCAUCCUCGACGAGCUGGGUGUUGAUCUGCUGGUCGUGCCACAGUGCUAAUGUGUUGGUUUUGGGUACGGUACCACCAUUUUCCCUUUUAACUAGUGAAGCGUAACACUUGAUUAAUUAGCCGGAUGGUGUGCUAAUGUAGGUGUCCGACUGUUUGAAGGAAUAAUUGAGGUGUGCCCGAUCCGUGCCCGCAUUUAGGGGUCCAACUUACCAUAUUCCGGCAGUAGUAACUAUACUAGUCCCUGCAUACUCCCUCUGUUUUUAUUUACUCCACAUUUUAGGUUUGCUGAAAGUCAAACUUUGUAAACUUUGAUAAAGUUUAUAGACAGAAAUAAUAACAUAUACAAUAACAAAUCAAUACCAUUAGAUUCAUUAUUGAAUAUACUUUCACAUCUUAUAGAUUCGCUAUUGUAAAUGUUCAUAUUUUUUCUAUAAAUUUGGUCAAAUUUUAUGAAGUUUGACUCCAGUCAAACCUAAUAUGCAGAGUAAAAAAAAACGGAGGGAGUAACUUACUCCGUGACCAAGACAGCAGGGAAAACGAGAUAACUUAUUGUUUAUUUGAGUCGUUCAAGUAUAAUCAUGUGGCGUUGCUUAUUUCUCGUUCCUCUCCAACCCUCUUCUCCAUUGAUCAUGCCGCCCUCCGGCAGAGUCCAUCCUCCCGCAUGCCUCAUUUGAACAUUCCACCGAGUAUCAUUUGCAUGUGGGCCUAGACCAUGCUUGUAUUUCCAAUGUUAUAAUUUGUCCGACAUGCAUACUAACAAAUGGUUCGUUUAAAUUUUCACUUUGCCUCCACUAUGUGUCGCUUCCUGACUUAGUUUUGACAUCCCAUUCGGUUCAUGCCCCAACACAUCUUGACGGGAUUGAUUAAUGUUGAGAGAUCAAUUGCGUGUCGUGCAAGGAGAUAAAGGUUUGGUCUGUUUCUAUGAUAGAAAUGACCCGCGGGGGAGGGGGGUCUGUGGGGAUCGGAGGGAGUAUAUUGUAUGUUCAUAAGCGAAACGAACGUACUGGACCCACCCUAGUCCUCUUUCAAUCGAUCUUCGGACCCUGAGAUGAAACCGAGAGAGAAUGAGUGGGUGCAUAUGUGAUACCUAAGGCGGAUCAAAAUUUUGAACCAGUGAUCAUAGCAUCAGCAAAUCAUACAUAAAGGGUAUUUAAUGUUGGUUUUGCUUUUGAACGUACAAUAUACUCCCUCCGAUCCUUUCUAGCUUACAUAUAAGUUUUAUGUGUAAUCAAAGUAUCUCUACUUUGAUCAAACUUACAGAAAAAAGUAUCAACAUUCAACAAUGCCAAUCAAUAUUGGUAGAUUCGUACAUACUCCUAGAUUUGUAUUCAAACAGAGAUGGUUUCCAAUUUGUUUUCAGACACGUGAAUGUGCUUGUUCUCAUGCAUGCUCUUCCUACUAGGAUUUCAUCAUGUAUAGCCAGUCCAAUAGUAACUUUUUUAAGCCCCCUAUCCAAUAGUACUAGUGGAGUAUUGACAACAUAUGUUUUUAUUUACUCCGCAUAAAACGGAGGUAGUAAUAUAAAUGACGCGGGCCGGGGAGGGUGAGGGAUGUCAGUUUGCUCUCAACUGCGGUCCCACAAGCGAGCAAAAAUGUAAGACAAAGUGCGUUCCAUUCAGUGAGCGACGUGGAGGGUACAGCGUGUUGGGGUGCAACGCGAACGCGACAAGAGCGAUGUUCAGUCAAAACUGAUUGACCAGUCGUCACUGGAACCACUAUUCACACAAGAACCUUCGCUGCUCGACCUAUGCCAGCCACUACCCCAAAACCACACCUCCUCUCCAGCCCAUUCCCCCACCUUUUGAUCCCCUAGCCCGCAUCAAGCAUCCCCUAGUUCGCCGGAAAGCCAUGGUGCGCCGCAAGAUCACGUACUACAAGAUGCUGACGCUGGAGCGCCGCGCAGAAAUUGCGGCGGUGGUUGGUGCCACAGACCUCCGUUCCCAAGCUCGCUUUGCGGCGGGCCAAUCCCCGAGUUCUCUGGAGCCAAGCUCCGAGGAGGUGGAAGCCGAUCCAAUGUUUAUGGCGGAGGUCACGGCGCAGAAGGCCCUCGAUGCGUGUGAGACGAUGGACGUUGACUUUUUGCCGGCAUCCAGGUCCCCCAUGGUGCAGGCAGACCAGCGGUUCAACCUGGCGAUACUAAAGGAGGACCGAGAGGCGGAGGCUCAACUCGACAUGGAGCGCACGCAUGCCGCUACCAUCGAAGCCCUCCUGCAAGCAGAACCGGAUGUCAUUGAUCUGAACCGGGCGACGGAGGCUCAACUUGACGUGGAGCGCACGGAUGACGCUGCCAUCGAGGCCCUCCUGCAGGCGGAACCGGACGUCCUUGACUUGAACCAGGUGGUGGAGGCUCAACUUGACGUGGAGCGCGAGGAUGCCGCUGCCAUCGAGGCCCUCCUGUGGGCGGACCCGGACGUCCUGGACUUGAACCGGGCAACAGAGGCUCAACUCGACACGGAGUGCGCGGAUGCCGCUGCCAUUGAGGCCCUCCUGUAGGUGGAACCGGAUGUCCUGGACUUGAACGGGGUGGUGCUCUCAUCCGUGUAGAGCGCCCGUGCACUCCAUGUGAACGAGUAGCUAGAAGCCAAGGACAACCACGAUACAGAGACACACGUCGGUAGCUACGGCUAGUUCACGCCGACAGCCAAAGAUGACGAGGCCGUCUCGUUCCGCGAGCAGUGAUAGUUUUCUUUUUUAUUUUGUUUUUAGGGAUCUUUUGUUGUGUAAAAACAUAUAUUUAUGCAAUUCGCCUGACUUUCAUCAUUUGGGUCAGUCGACCAUUUCAGGCGGUUGGAUGAAUAUUCUACGUCUCCUUGAUAUGUCUCCAAUGUAUCUAUAAUUUAUGAAGUAUUCAUGCUGUUAUAUUAUCAUUCUUGGAUGUUUUAAAAUCAUUUCAUUGCAACUUUAUAUCAUUUUUAGGGACUAACCUAUUGACCCAGUGCCCAAUGCCAGUUGUUGUUUUUUGCUUGUUUUUACAUCACAGGAAAUCAAUAUCAAAUGGAGUCCAAACACCGCGUAACUUUUUGGAGAUUUUUUCUAGACCAGAAGGAACCCAAUGGGCCUAAGCUGCACCUGGGGGGUGCUCCGAGGGGGGCACAACCCACCAGGGCGCGCCAGGGCCCCCUGGUGCGCCCAGGUGGGUUGUGCCCACCUCGGUGGCCUCCCGCAGCCCUUCUUUGCACUAUAAAUUCUCAAAUAUUCCAAAACCCUUCGGGGUAAACCUAGAUCAGAAGUUCCGCCACCGCAAGGUCUCUGUAUCCAUGAAAAUCAAUCUAGACCCUGUUCCGGCACCCUGCCUGAGGGGGGAAUCAUCUCCGGUGGCCAUCUUCAUCAUCCCGACGGCCACCACGAUGAGGAGGGAGUAGUCCACCCUCGGGGCUGAGGGUUUGUACCAUUAGCUAUGUGGUUGAUCUCUCUCUCGUGAUCUAUAUCAUGGGCUUUGUUAAUAUAGUCGGAUCAUAUGAUGUUUCUCCCCUCUAUACUCUUGUUAUGACGAAUUGAAUCUUUACCGUUCAAAGUUUUGUCUUGUUGGAUUGAAUAUUCAGAGAUGAGAACACAUGAUAUAUGUCUUGCAAUAUGAAUACUUGAGGUGACAAUGAGGUAUCUUAUUGAUUAACUUGAUAUGUGUUAUGGCAUUCAACUUGCGGAUUCCCGCAGUGAUAUUGGGGUAAUUUAUGCAUAGGGGUUGAUGCAUAUUUUUCUCUGACAGAAACUUUGAGGUCUCUUUAUAGUUCUUUGUGUGGAUUGAGUAUUAUGAUAUGAAUUUGCUUUGGUGUUAUUCUAGUGCGAACUCUAGGAUAGAUUGAACGGAAAAAUAGCUUUGUGUUAUUUUAGUACAAACUCUUGAAUAGAUCGAACGGAAAGAAUAGCUUUGAGGUGGUUUCGUGACCUACAAACAAUUCAUAUACUUCGUUCUCCGCUAAUAGGAACUCGGGAGUGAUCCUGUAUUGCACUUUGAGGGAUGAUCAUAUGAUCCAACUAUGUUAGCAUUGUUGAGAGGUUACACUAGUGAAAGUACGGACCCUAGGCCUCAUUUUUAAGCAUUGCAAUACCAUUUUUGUGCCCAUUUACUAUUUGCAACCUUGCUGUUUUUAUUUAUUCAGAUUACAAAAAUAUAAUUCUAACAUCCAUAUUACACUUUUAUCACCAUCUCUUGGCCGAACCAGUGCACCUAUACAAUUUGCCAUUGUAUUAGGUGUUGUGGGGACACAAGAGAUUUCUUGUAUUUGGUUGCACGGUCAUUUGAGAGAGACCAUCUUCAUCCUACACCUCUUAUGGAUUGAUAAACCUUAGGUCAUCCACUUGAGGGAAAAUUGCUACUAUCCUACAAAACUCUGCGCUUGGAGACCCAACACGUGUCUACAAGAAUAAAGUUGCGUAGUAGACAUCAAGCUCUUUUCUGGCGUCGUUGCUGGGGAGGUAAGAAAAUCGGCACUCACACUCCGGCAAUGAAGCUCUUUUCUGGCGCCGUCGCUGGGGAGGUGAGUGCUUGAAGGUAUAUCUUUAGAUCUUGCAAUUAAAUCUUUUAGUUUCUUGUUUUACCACUAGUUUGGUUUAUAAAAGAAAACUACAAAAAAUGGAAUUAAGGUUGCAUCAUAUUAUUGAUCAUCUUUAUAAUAUCUUUCUUGGAAAUGAUGGUUCGAAAAAUUGUGCUCAAUUGAUAGAAGAAGAAUUUAAUAAAAUGAUUGGAAUGAAUGAUGAGCAUGAUGGCAAUGUUGUUAGUAUGAAUUCUUUGAAUAUCCAUGAUGUUAAUGAUAUGCAAAGCUAUAAGCUUGGGGAUGCUAUGUUUGAUGAAGAUGAUAUUUUCACUCCCCCAAGUUUUGAUGAGCGAGUUUAUUAUGAUGAAAGCAUGCCUCCUAUAUUUGAUGAUUAUUGUGAUGAAAUGUAUGCUAUAAGGAAUAAUGAUAACCAUGAAACUUGUCAUCAUGAUUUUAAUUUUCACUCUCAUGAUAGUUAUUUUGUUGAGUUUGCUCCCACUACUAUGAAUGAGAAUAAGUUUGCUUGUGUGGAGAGAAAUAAAUUUUCAAUGCUUGUGGAUCAUGAAAAGAAUGAUUUAUGUGAUAGUUAUAUUGUUGAAUUAAUUCAUGAUGCCAUUGAAAAUUAUUAUGGGGGAGGAACAUAUGCUUGUAGGAAUUGCAAUAAUAUCAAGUUUUCUCUCUAUGUGUUGAAAGUUUUGAAGUAUUGCUUGUUUUGCCUUCCUAUGCUAGUUCAUUCUUAUUCCGAUAAAUUGUUUGCUCACAAAAUCCCUAUGCAUUGGAAUAGGUUUAGGCUUAAAUGUGCUUGCCAUGUGAUUCAUGAUGCUCUUUUUCAUGUUUCAAUUCUUAUCUUUUAUGCAAGCAUCAUUGAAAUCAUCAUGCCUAGCUAAAAGGCAUUAAAGAAAAGUGCUUGUUGGGAGGCAACCCAACAUUUUUACCUACUUUUUUUGUGUGUUCACAUGAUUAUGAUACCUUAGAAAUCAUGUUUUAUUGCUUUUGUUUCAAUAAAGUGCCAAGUAAAGCCUUUGGGAUCAUGUUGGGUGAUAGUUGAUUUGAUCUUGCUGAAAAACAGAAACUCUUGCACUCACGAAAAUAGCUCCCAUUUUUAACAGAAGAGUGCUUCUGAGUUGACUCUUUUUGCAGAAGAUUAAUAUACAAAUUUCUCACGUGGUCCAAUUUUUUUCAUAAUUUUUGGAGUAGCAUAAGUAUGGUUUGAGUACAGAUUCUAUAGACUGUUCUGUUUUUGAUAGAUUAUGUUUUCAAUGCAUAGUUUGCUUGUUUCCUAGUUUCUAUGGCUUCUAUUGCUCAAUAUAAAUUGUGGAAAUUAUAUGCUACAGUAGGAAUUGUGUGGAAACAAUUAUGAAUCUUGUCUUUGACAGUAACAAAAGUGAAAUGGUUUGCUCUUUAGCAUACUAACCUAUCUCACAAGGUUCCGUUAAGUUUUGUGUGAUUGAAGUUUUCAAGUUUUGGGUGAGAUGUCUGUAACAUCCCAAAAUUUUCAAUUUGGAAUGUUAUACAUUAGAUUAUCAUUGCAUAUCAUAUUUUAUUGCAUUUUGGCUUGAUCCUAGAAACUUCAUGCAACUCAAGGACACACGGAGAGAGUUGGAGAUUUCGUUAUUUUCAUAUUUGAGUUUUCUCAAAUUUUGAAAAUAGGAUCAUUUGAUUUUAAUUAUUUUAUCUUCGAAUAUUUCUUAUACAAAAAUAAAAGAGAGGGAAUAAAAUGACUUUCCCAAAAUAAAGAAAUAUUGAGGAUUUAGUAAUAAAAUCAAAUAAUAUUUUUAUUCCAGAGUUUAUCAAUAUUUUAUUUGAAUUUAGGAAAAAUGUGUGUUUUUCAAAAUUGCAUUUUAGGCCCAAAUAAAUGUUCAUCUAGGCCGGCUUAUUUUUAGAGGACGGGGAAAAUUUAUUUCGGGAUUUUUCGAGUCCGUUUAGUAUUUCUUUUCUUUCUUUUUCUGCACGUCCGAAUUGUUUAAAAAACGAACCGACUGGGGCCGCCGUGGGCGACCCGGACUUGUCCGCCGCCCGGCUUUAUAAGCCGCCCCACCCCGCAGGCCCACUCCAGCCCGCCUCACCCCGCAAACCCUAACCCUAGCUGCGUCGUGNNNNNNNNNNNNNNNNNNNNNNNNNNNNNNNNNNNNNNNNNNNNNNNNNNNNNNNNNNNNNNNNNNNNNNNNNNNNNNNNNNNNNNNNNNNNNNNNNNNNNNNNNNNNNNNNNNNNNNNNNNNNNNNNNNNNNNNNNNNNNNNNNNNNNNNNNNNNNNNNNNNNNNNNNNNNNNNNNNNNNNNNNNNNNNNNNNNNNNNNNNNNNNNNNNNNNNNNNNNNNNNNNNNNNNNNNNNNNNNNNNNNNNNNNNNNNNNNNNNNNNNNNNNNNNNNNNNNNNNNNNNNNNNNNNNNNNNNNNNNNCCGCCGCCGCCCAUGCCGCCGCCAAAGGUAGCACCCAUGCCGCCGCCGAUUUUCUUUGAAAAACCGUUGGUUUUUCUUUAGGAACCGCGGUUCAUUUUUUUUAUAGGUCGGUUUAGUUUUUUCGGUUUAUUUAUAUUGCGGACGUUCGUCCGUACGUUCGUUUUAAUGAACGGUUUCCGUCGAUUAGCCGCAGACAACAAACAUUCGUUCGUUAGCCUGUUCGUCCAUUUUUUUCUCGGAUUUUCCGCGAUUAUUUCCGAUCGCGAUUUCUCAUCUGAUUUUCAUUCUAGUAUAACUUUUUGCUUGUUUAUCGGGAUCAGGCGAUUCAAGCGCCUAGAGUUUCGUCUUGAAACCCUCUUUCCAUUUAACCAACUCAAACAAGUUUUUGCUACUGUAAAAUUUGACUUAGGUCCAGAUUAGUAAAUAAAGCUUGUUUCUUUCGCCAUUUGACUUUCGUUGCUUCAUUUGGUUUGAUUCUUUUUGCAAACCAGAGUUCUUAAGUUGAACUUUUUGGUUAGAUCUCUUAUUUGCGUUUUAUGCGUGCAUUAGAUGAGUGCUUAUUGUAUGCUUGUUUGUUUGCGAUAGAGUACCCGGAGUGGGCCGCUUGCUACUACGAGUCUCUAGGUUUCACGGAUCAUCAGCAAGGCAAGUAACACUUUGAUCAUACCUCUUUACUACCUAGUUUUAUUGCAUUAGAUCAAUCCUCAAACAAUUGCAUGAUUAGGAUUUGAUUAACAUGUGGGUUUUGGGAAGUAGAUGAGGUAGAACCUAUUACCUGUUUUAUUAUCAAACCUUUGGGAGUUACAUCUACGUUUGCUUAUAUCGCUAUGCUAUGCUAGUAGACGUGGGUUGGGUGAGUGUAUCCAUGACAGAUGUGAGAUUGUUAAGUAAUGUUUUACUUAAGGUGACAACUUUAAUUCACAUCUGGGUGGAUUGAGGCACCUGGGGAACCCAGUGUUGCCUGUAUUUUUGGAAAUCCCGGGGUACCGUGUGAUUCUCCUAUGGACCGCCACCCAGGCUCAAAGGGAUCAUGAGAUUAUUCAUGCUAGAAACUUCCGUGUGCAGCCGCAAGCUACUAUGGGCUCUAGCAUAGUUGAUUAAGUCGUGUGAACUCUUACAGUGGUAGACUAGCAGAUGUAGGGGAAAGUAGGUGUAACUGUCUACCCAUCGUAAGGUGCAAACGCUUCUGAAAGACUGUGUCUCGGUCAUCCCUUUCUCAAACAUCAUGUAGUGCGAGAAAUCCAAUGGAGGAUAUUGAGUCUUGCGGGGAAAAGUGCGCAAACCUCUGUAGAGUGUAUAAACUAAUCAUGGUUAGCCGUGUCCCCGGUUAUGGACGUUUUGAGUAUCUAGUACCUGGAUUAUCAUGUGAAUCUCAUCAUGUUACUUUAAUUCAAUUUGUUGGGUUUUAAUGAUGAUGCUUAAUUGGGAUUGAGUUGGGUGAACCUUCUCAAUGUUUAACAACCACCAUGAUAGUUAAAUAAAAUUUAUUCCUUUGUUGUAGGGGAAAAUUGGCUUUAUGCAAAACUGUAACCAUAGAGCUUUCCACCAGCCAUAUAUGCAUGUAGUGAUAGCACUAUUCUAUUCAUUACUCUCUAUGUGUUACAUUGCCAGCAUAUUCCAUGUGCUGACCCAUUUUUGGGCUGCAACAUUCAUGUUGCAGACUUUUCAGACGACGAGUAAGGUGCCUUAGGUCGUGGUCUUAUACUCAGUGAUGCCGUUGGAGUUGAUGGACUCGCUUAUCUUCCAAGCCUUCAGUUGUUAUCGUUAGUAGAUGGCCUUAAGCCAUAUUUAUUGUAAUAAGUUCUCUUUUGAGACAUUCGAUGUAAUAAGUGUGUGAUUGCUACUCUGUUAUAAAUCCUUCAAGUAUUGUGUGUGUCAGCAUUACCGAUCCAUGGAUGACACUGAUGCACAGAGAUCAGACUGUUUGAGGUCUGGUCGCUACAAGAUGGUAUCAGAGCACACGUUGAUUGUAGGACACGACCACUAAGCUAAAGCCCUAGAUCACUACUCUCUUCUCAUUUCUGACUCCUCACCUUUUCUACUCUUUAGGAUGGCGGAUGCAAGGAACAAGUUCAUGCAAUUGGAUGAAGAUACACCCUUUGGACGCCACUUGAAGGAAGUCACUAGGUACCUGAACAUUGGAGUGCCACGCUUCAUCGGGACCUACAUCGCCACUUUACCCGAAGAGGAGCGUUGGAUGAUUCAAGUUCAAGUUCCAGGAAGGACGUUCAUGCCCAUCACUGAGCCCAUAGAGUUUUCCUUUGAUGCACCAACCUGGAGUCUAGGAAAGAGCAUGGCAGCCCACAUCACCAUGGGACGCAUUGGAGAAGUUUACCAUAAGGAUCUCAAGGAUACUAUUUACCAGAUUUGUGGGCGCCGAGAUGAGCAAUGGGAGAUGAUCAGUUCCAGGAAGGAUAGAUCAAUUGUAGCUUUCAUCCAGGAGCUAAACCAGCACAUUCGUCGCCAGAAGAACCAGAUGUGCGCAGGCAUGAUAGAUCUGAAGAAGGCAUUGACCAAGAUCACGGAGCUGGAAGAAGAACUUAAGUCUACACGCGAUGGUUAUGAGGAGGAAAUGACGACACUCAUGGAGAAGAAUGAUGAUCUGAAGAAGAAGCUAAAGGUAUUCAUGGGAUUCCCCGUGACUAGAGGAGAAGAUUAUGAUUGCACUUGCCCGGAGAACUGCAUCAUCAUCGACGACACCGACUCGGACCCAGACGAUAACGAUGAUGACUUUGUUGAUGAAGCUGGAGCAGAUAUCAUGGAGUCCUCGACCAAUCAAUUUUUCUAGUCGACCACCAUCAAUAGUAGUAUUCCCCAUGUAUAUAGUAUAGUCCGAGCACUUUUGUAAUGAUAGUUAGACCAUUGUAUGCCCUUGUUUGAAUUGAUUGAUGUGAUAUUGAUUGCAUUUGUCUCAUGUGCAUAUGGGUAGUGUUAUUCUCUCUAGACCUCAUUCUAUUCUAUAUUCUCAUCUUUUCUAAACCCUCAGAUGCCUCCGAGACGUGACAAUGGAUUUGCUUUCCCACCGGAGCUCACUCAGUUGAUCCAGCAGUAGAAUGCAUUGAUGCAUAUGCUAGUCCAGAAUCAGAAUUAGGGGAACAACAACAACAACAACAACAACAACCCACCACCACCACCACCUGAUGAUCACUUAGCCCGUUUCUUAAGGCUAAAUCCGCCGGUGUUCUCUAGCAGCACCGAGCCGAUAGUUGCAGAUGAUUGGCUCCGCAAGAUGGGAAGGGAGUUGACCACUGCAGGAUGCACAGAUGCGGAGAAGGUGCAUUUUGCUGCACAUCAGCUUGAUGGACCCGCAGCAUCAUGGUGGGAGAAUUUCAUAGCCACUUAUCCCAUCGACACUGUCAUAUGGGACCAGUUUCAGCAGGCUUUCCGUACUGCUCAUGUUUCAGCAGGAGCUAUGGCCAUGAAGAAGCGUGAGUUUCUUAACUUGCGCCAAGGAGGAUGUACAGUUGGCCAGUAUGUGGAUGACUUUAGUAAGCUAGCAUGCUAUGCCCCAGUUGACGUUGCUACGGAUGCAGCUAAGCAGGAGAAGUUUCUGGAAGGACUGAAUGAUGAGCUGAGCAUGUAGUUGAUGGUGGCAACCUUCAACAACUACCAGGAGUUGGUAGAUAGAGCUCUCAUGAUUGAAGGGAAGUAGCAGCAGAUUGACAACCGCAAGAGGAAGUAUGGACAAGGGAAGUACAAUUCUGGAGCUCAGCAGAAGCCUCGUUUUACCCCGAACUCGGGAGGACCUUUUCAGCAUACCCAUGGAGGAGGGAGUUUGCACAACCAUAGUGGCCCCAAGAAUGGGAAUGGGAAUGGAGGAAGCAACGACCAUAACCGUACCAACCCAUCAACCCCAGCCAAGAAGGAUCUGAGCCACGUCACUUGCUAUAAAUGCCAGAAGACUGGACAUUAUGCCAAUGAGUGUCCUGAAGCUAAGAAUGGAAACGGCAAUGGAAGCUCUGGGAAGAAGCCGAGCCCUUUCAACAGGGGACAGGUGAACCACGUUAACGUGGAGGAGGUUGAAGCCCAGCCGGAUGCAGUAAUAGGUAAGUUUUCGGUUAAGUCAUUUACUACAAUCGUUCUUUUUGAUACUGGAGCAUUGCAUUCAUACAUAUCAAGGGGAUUUGUGGAUAAGUAUAAGAUGCCCACUAAAGUUCUUAGGACACCUAUGUUAGUAAGCUCACCAGGAGCGGAGCAUGUGGCAAGUCAAGGAUGUUUUCAAGUGCCAUUGACCAUAGGUAGGCAUGUUUUCCCCUCGGAUUUAAUCAUUGGAGUCACAAGGUUUGGAUGUGAUUCUGGGUAUGGAUUGGCUACCGAUGUAUGGAGGAAACAUCGAUUGCGCUAGCAAGUCAAUUUUGCUUACCACCCCAGAAGGAAGAAGGAUUAAGUAUGUGUCACGGCUUGAACCGAAGAGGACUCAAGUGAAUUCCUUAUCAGGAGUUGUACAGGAGGAAGUACCAGUGGAGAAGGAUUUCCCUGUUGUAUUUCCAGAAGAGUUGCCAGGCAUGCCACCGGAUAGAGAAAUUGAGUUUCUGAUUGAGCUUUUGCCAGGCACAGGGUCGAUAUCUAAGAGACCGUACAAGAUGCCCGCAAAGGAUUUGGACGAAAUUAAGAAGCAGAUUAAGGAGUUACUGGAUAAAGGCUAUAUUCGCCCAAGUUCAUCACCUUGGGGAUAACCAGUGCUUCUAGUGGAGAAGAAGGACGGAUCUUUGAGAAUGGUUGUUGAUUAUCGAGGAUUGAAUGAAGUGACAAUCAAAAACAAGUACCCACUACCGAUGAUCAACGAUUUGUUUGACCAAUUGCAAGGAGCUAAGGUAUUUUCCAAGAUCGACCUGCGAUCAGGAUACCACCAACUAAAGAUUUGAGAGCAGGAUAUACCUAAGACGGCUUUUACCACCAGGUACGGGCUGUAUGAGUAUACCGUUAUGUCAUUUGGUUUGACUAACGCACCUGCCUAUUUCAUGAACAUGAUGAACAAAGUGUUUAUGGAGUUUUUGGAUAAGUUCGUCAUGGUGUUCAUUGAUGAUAUUCUGGUCUACUCGAAGAAUGAAGAGGAUCAUAAGGAGCAUUUGCGUUUGGUACUUGGGAAGCUCAGAGAACAUCAGUUGUAUGCCAAGUUCAGCAAGUGUGAGUUUUGGUUGAAGGAAGUUGGAUUCCUCGGACAUGUUAUAUCCGGAUAAGGAAUAGCAGUAGACCCCACCAAAGUUGUCACUGUGACAAACUGGGAAGCCCCAACAACAGUUGGAGAGAUUCGGAGUUUUCUUGGACUCGCAGGAUACUACCGAAGGUUCGUUGAGAAUUUCUCGAAGAUUGUGAAACCCAUGACGGAGUUGUUGAAGAAGAACACCAAGUUCAAAUGGACUGAGGAAUGUGAGGCCAGUUUCCAGGAGUUGAAGAAACAUUUGGUUACAUCACCGGUGUUGAUUUUGCCAGAUCAGCGCAAGGAUUAUGAAGUAUAUUGCGACGCUUCUCGUCGAGGACUUGGAGCAGUGCUUAUGCAGGAGGGAAGAGUUGUUUCGUAUGCCUCACGACACCUUAAGCCCCAUGAGUUGAAUUAUGCUACACAUGAUUUGGAGUUAGCAGUCGUAGUGCACGCAUUGAAUACAUGGAGACAUUUUCUCAUCGGAAACCAUUGUGAGGUGUACACAGAUCACAAGAGUUUGAAGUACAUCUUCACAUAGAAGGAGUUAAAUCUCAGGCAAAGGAGAUGGUUGGAUCUCAUUAAGGAUUAUGAUAUGAGAUUGCAUUAUCACCCCGGAAAGGCUAACGUGGUAGGCGAUGCGUUGAGCCGUAAGAGCCAUGUCAACACACUCAUGACCGGAGAGUCACCUAAGGAGUUAGCCGAGGAUCUUUGCGAGCUAUGUUUGGAGAUAGUUCCGAGAGGCUAUGUAGCAGCAUUGGAGAUUCAGUCUACUUUGAUGGACAAGAUCAGAGAAGCUCAGAAGUCUGACAAGGAGAUUGCUGAGAUAAAGGAGAAGAUGAGCAAAGGAAAAGCUAAAGGAUUUCGUGAGGAUGAGCAUGAUACCUUAUGGUUUGAGGACCGCGUUUAUGUGCCUAAUGACCCGGAGAUCAGGAAGUUGAUUCUGCAGGAGGCCCGUGAUUCGUCGUAUUCGAUUCACCCAGGAAAUACCAAGAUGUAUUUGGAUUUGAAGGACACUUUCUGGUGGACCGGAAUGAAGAAAGAUAUUGCGGAGUAUGUAGCAGUUUGUGAUGUAUGUCAAAGAGUGAAGGCACAGCAUCAGAAGCCAGCAGGAUUGCUACAGCCAUUCCCGAUACCCGAAUGGAAGUGGGAUAAGCUAGGCAUGGAUUUUAUUACGGGAUUGCCCAGGACUCGUUCAGGCUAUGACUCAAUAUGGGUUGUAGUCGAUCGUUUGACGAAGGUAGCUCAUUUCAUCCCAGUGAAGACCACUUACACCAGUGCUAAGUUGCCGAAGAUAUACAUGACCAGGAUCGUAUGUCGGCAUGGAGUUCCGAGGACCAUUGUAUCGGAUAGAGGAACCCAGUUUACCUCAAUGUUCUGGAAUCAGUUGCACGAAACUUUGGGUACCAAGCUAGAGUUCAGUACCGCCUUUCAUCCAUAGAUAGAUGGACAGACCAAGAGAGUCAAUCAGAUUCUGGAGGACAUGCUGAGAUCUUGUGCGCUAGAUUAUGGAUCUAGUUGGGCGAUAAUUUGCCAUAUGCAGAGUUCUCUUACAAUAAUAGUUAUCAAUCUAGUUUGAAGAUGGCCCCUUUCGAAGCUUUGUACGAAAGGAGGUGCAGGACACCGUUGUUGUGGGAUGAAGUUGGAGACCGUCAGUUGUUUGGACCAGAUUUGAUUAAAGAGUCUGAACAGAAGGUGAAGUUGAUUCGCGAUAGGCUCAAGGUAGCCCAGUCUAGGUAGAAGAGCUAUGCAGAUUCUAAACGCAAGGAGACAGCUUACGAAGUUGGAGACAGAGUUUGUCUUCAUGUAUCCCCACUUCGAGGAGUUAAGCGUUUUGGAGUUAAGGGAAAGUUAGCACCACAUUUUGUGGGACCAUACAAAGUUUUGGAACGUAUGGGAGAAGUUUCUUACAAGUUGGAGUUGCCCGAAGGAUUGUCAGGAGUUCAUGAUGUGUUCCAUGUUUCCCAGUUGAAGAAGUGCCACGCAGAGAUGGUUGAUAUACCGCCAAGAGAUACGGUGCCACUGGAAGCGAUUCAGCUGGAUAGUGAUUUGACCUAUGAGGAGAAAGCAGUUAAGAUUCUCGAAUUUGCCAGCCGAGUCACGCGCAGCAAGUUUAUCAAGUUUUGCAAAGUUUAGUGGAGCCACCAUAUCGAAGAUCUAUUGAAGGACCACCCUCACCUAUUUUCUAGCCAACCCGAAUCUCGAGGGCGAGAUUCAUCUUAAGGGGGUAGGUUUGUAACAUCCCAAAUUUUCAAUUUGGAAUGUUAUACAUUAGAUCAUCAUUGCAUAUCACAUUUUAUUGCAUUUUGGCUUGAUCCUAGAAAUUUCACGCAACUCAAGGACCCACGGAGAGAGUUGGAGAUUUCGUUAUUUUCAUAUUUGAGUUUUCUCAAAUUUUAAAAAUAGGAUCAUUUGAUUUUAAUUAUUUUAUCUUCGAAUUUUUCUUAUACAAAAAUAAAAGAGAGGGAAUAAAAUGACUUUCCCAAAAUAAAGAAAUAUUGAGGAUUUAAUAAUAAAAUCAAAUAAGAUUUUUAUUUCGGAGUUUAUUGAUAUUUUAUUUGAAUUUAGGAAAAAUGCACGUUUUUCAAAAUUGCAUUUUAGGCCCAAAUAAAUGUUCAUCUUGUGUGGCUUAUUUUUAGAGGACGGGAAAAAUUUAUUUUGGAGUCCGUUUAGUAUUUCUUUUCUUUCUUUUUCUGCACGNNNNNNNNNNNNNNNNNNNNNNNNNNNNNNNNNNNNNNNNNNNNNNNNNNNNNNNNNNNNNNNNNNNNNNNNNNNNNNNNNNNNNNNNNNNNNNNNNNNNNNNNNNNNNNNNNNNNNNNNNNNNNNNNNNNNNNNNNNNNNNNNNNNNNNNNNNNNNNNNNNNNNNNNNNNNNNNNNNNNNNNNNNNNNNNNNNNNNNNNNNNNNNNNNNNNNNNNNNNNNNNNNNNNNNNNNNNNNNNNNNNNNNNNNNNNNNNNNNNNNNNNNNNNNNNNNNNNNNNNNNNNNNNNNNNNNNNNNNNNNNNNNNNNNNNNNNNNNNNNNNNNNNNNNNNNNNNNNGUCGGAGGUAGCACCCGCGCCGCCGCCGGUUUUCUUCGGAAAACCGUUGGUUUUUCUUUAGGAACCGCGGCUUAUUUUUUUUAUAGAUCGGUUUAGUUUUUUUUCCGGUUUAUUUAUAUUGCAAACGUUCGUCCGUAUGUUCAUUUUAACAAACGGUUUAUAUCGUUUAGCCGCAGACAGCGAACGUUCGUUCGUUAGCCUAUUCGUCCGUUUUUCUUUUUCUCGGAUUUUCCGCGAUUAUUUCCGAUUGGGAUUUCUGAUCCGAUUUUCGUUCUAGUAUAACUUUUCGCUCGUUUAUCGGAAUCAGGCGAUUCAAGCGCCUAGAGUUUCUUCUCGAAACCCUCUUUCCGUUUAACCAACUCAAACAAGUUUUUGCUACUAUAAAAUUUGACUUAGGUCCAGAUUAGUAAAUGAAGCUUGUUUCUUUCGCCGUUUGACUUUCGUUGCUUUGUUUGAUUUGAUUCUUUUUGCAAACCGGAGUUCUUAAGUUGAACUUUCUGGUUAGAUCUCUUAUUUGAGUUUUACCUGUGCAUUAGAUGAGUGCUUAUUGUAUGCUUGUUUGUUUGCGAUAGAGUACCCGGAGUGCGCCGCUUGCUACGACGAGUCUCUAGGUUUCACGGAUCAUCAGCAAGGCAAGUAACACUUUGAUCAUACCUCUUUACUACCCAGUUUAAUUGCAUUAGAUCAAUCCUCAAACAUUUGCAUGAUUAGGAUCUGAUUAACAUGUGGGCUUUGGGAAGUAGAUGAGGUAGAACCUAUUACAUGUUUUAUUAUCAAACCUUUGGGAGUUACCUCUACGUUUGCUUAUAUCGCUAUGCUAUGCUAGUAGACGUGGAUUGGGUGAGUGUAUCCAUGACAGAUGUGAGAUUGUUAAUUAAUGGUUUACUUAAGGUGGCAACUUUAAUUCACAUCUGGGUGGAUUGAGGCACCCGGGGAACCCAGUGUUGCCUGUAUUUUUGGAAAUCCUGAGGUACCGUGUGAUUCUCCUAUGGACCGCCACCCAGGCUCAAAGGGAUCAUGAGAUUAUUCAUGCUAGAUAAUUCCGUGUGCAGCACGAAAGCUACUAUGGGCUCUAGCAUAGUUGAUUAAGUCGUGUGAACUCUUAAGCGGUAGACUAGCAGAUGUAGGGGAAAGUAGGUAUAACUGUCUACCCAUCGUGAGGUGCAAACGCUUCUGAAAGACUGUGUCUCGAUCAUGCGUUUCUCAAACACCAUGUAGUGCGAAAAAUCCAAUGGAGUAGAUCAAGUCUUGGAGGGAAAAGUGCGCAAACCUCUGCAGAGUGUAUAAACUAAUCAUGGUUAGUCGUGUCCCCGGUUAUGGACGUUUUGGGUAUCUAGUACCUAUAUUAUCAUGUGAAUCUCAUAAUGUUACUUUAAUUCAAUUUUUUGGGUUUUAAUGAUGAUGCUUAAUUGGGAUUGAGUUGGGUGAACCUUCUCAAUGUUUAACAACCACCAUGAUAGUUAAAUAAAAUUCAUUCCUUUGUUGUAGGGAAAAAUUGGCUUUAUGCAAAACUGUAACCAUAGAGCUUUCCACCAGCCAUAUAUGCAUGUAGUGAUAGCAUUAUUUUGUUCAUUACUCUCUAUGUGUUACAUUGCCAGCAUAUUCCAUGUGCUGACCCGUUUUUGGGCUGCAACGUUCAUGUUGCAGACUUUUCAGACGACGAGUAAGGUGCCUUAGGUCGUGGUCUUAUACUCAGUGAUGCCGUUGGAGUUGAUGGACUCGCUUAUCUUCCAAACCUUCUGUUGUUAUCGUUAGUAGAUGACCUUAAGCCAUAUUUAUUGUAAUAAGUUCUCUUUUGAGACAUUCGAUGUAAAAAGUGUGUGAUUGCUACUCUGUUAUAAAUCCUUCAAGUACUGUGUGUGUCAGCAUUACCAAUCCAGGGAUGACACUGAUGCACAGAGAUCAGGCGGUUUGAGGUCUCGUCGCUACAAUGUCGAUAUGAAGAGAAUAAGGAGUGACAAGACCCUAAGCUUGGGCAUUCCCAAGGCACCCCCGUGGUAAUAUUAAAGGAAGACCCAAGCAACUAAGCUUAGGGAUACCCCAGAAGGCAUCCCCUCUUUCAUCUCCAACAUUAUCGGUAACCUCACUUGGAGGUUUGUUUUCAUUCGUCACAUGAUAUGUGUUUUGCUUGGAGCGUUAAUUUAUUUUGUUAGUAUUUGCUUUCUUUUGUCUAGAAUAAUGUUUUGCAUCUUUUAUUUCAAUAAAAGUGGCAAUGAUAGCCUUUGCCAUUCUUAUUUUGCAAGUAUACAUGUUGCUGUUUCAAAACAAAAAGUUUAUCAGUGUUGCAAAAAUUCCCUAGAAAAGGCAGAACAUGGCAAAUUGUUGAAACUUUUUGCAAAAUAAGCUCUGAUAAAUUUCCUACAGUGUGGUAUUUUUUCAUAAUUUUUGGGGUUAGGGAAGUAUUAUGAAUCUUGCAUUCUUUACAGACUGUACUAUUUUGGCAGAUUGUUGUUAUGUUUGCAUUGUUUGCAUAUGUUUGCUUGUUUAAGGAUUCUAUUUGAGGAUAGGACUAUUAAAUAUGCAGAGGCAUUUAGUAUGCAAUGUUGCAUAGUAAUUUUAGUGAUUUUCUACAGUAGAGAAUGAUAAGGUUUUACAUUGGUUUAUACUAACUUAUCUCACAAGUUCUUGUUGAGUUUUCUGCGGAUGAAGUUUUUGAGAUUUAGGGAAGCCGUGAUAUGAGAGGAAUUAAGGAGACACAAAAGAUCAAGCUUUGGGAUGCCCAAGGCAUCCCAAGCUAAUAUUCUAAGAAGUCUCAAGCAUCUAAGCUUGGGGAUGCCCCGGUAGGCAUCCCACCUUUCUUCUUCAACAAUUAUUGGUUAGUAUCGGUUGAGCCUAAGUUUUUGCUUCUUCACAUGAGUUGUGCUAUGCUUGGAAUGUCAUUUUGUUUUGUUUUGCUUGCUGUUUUAAUAAAAUACUUAGACCUGAUUUUUUUAAAUAAAAUAGAGUCCUCAAUUAGUUUCCAGGGAGGCUAGGUAAGCGACAUUUACAUCCCGUCAACGAAGCUCUUUUCUAUGGAAUUGCUCUAGUGCUUCACUUAUAUCCUAUGAGUGAAUUGUUGAAUAAAUUGAAUGUCAUGAAGUUGAAAUCAUAUCAUGCCUAGUGGUAGCUUCACAUUGGGUUUAGAAAGUGAAAUCUUUUGAGGCUUGACAAUCACAAUAUUGGUCAUACAAGCAAUUCACGAAUAAUUAGUAUAAGGAAGAGAACUUUCACAUAUAAAUACACUAUCCUAGAAAUCUUUUGUGAUUGUGAGCCCACAUCAAAAUAUUAUAUGCCAAAAUUGUUGAUGUUGGACAAGGAAGACAGCAUAAUGGUUUAUGUUUGUUCAUAUUCACAAUGAAGUUAUAUUUUCAUAGAUCCUUCAACAUGUGGUGCUUGCCCCCUAUCUUUGCUAUUCAAAAAUUCCGCACCAAGUAGAGAUACUACUUGUGCAUCCAAAAACCCUUAAACCCAAAUCUUAUUUUCAAGUGUCCACCAUACCUACCUAAGGGUUGAGCAAUAUCCUUCAAGUAAGUUGUUAUCGGUGCAAUAAGGCAAUAAAAAUUGCUUCGAAAAGUGUUAGAUCAUUUAGUGUGAGAGAAAAUUGAGCGUUGUACGAACUUAUGAUGGCAAAGCAAUUAAAGCGACGGACUGCAAUAUAACGUAACAUUCUUUUGCACUAAGGGAUUGGGCAUACAAAUAAAUAAGCGUCUGGCAACCUCUGCUUCCCUCUGCGAAGGGCCUAUCUUUUACUUUUCAGUAUUUACUUUUAUGCAAAGAGUCGAAGUUUUUCUCUCUAUUCCUUUUUAUUUCUCUCCUUUGGCAAGCAUCAUGUGCUUAGGAAAGAUCUAGGAACAUAUGUCCAGUUGAAUAUGGGUAGCAUGAGUUAUUGUUGUUUACAUCACCCAAAGGAGAAUACGUUGGGAGGCGAAAUUAUAAGCCCCUGUCUUUCUAUGUGUCUGGUUGAAACGUUUUGCUCAUGUGUAUGCGGUGAGUGUUAGUAUCAUAGAAGACAAUAAGAUGGUUGAGUAUGUGGAGCUCUUACUUAGACUCUGUUGAAUAAGUUGAAUUGCAAUUGCUUGGUGACUGAGAACAUAGGUUGUUGAGUUUCAAGAGAGUUCAUUGUUUGAACCUUAACAUGUGGAUUGGUUGCUACUAUAAGAAUGAGAAGUUUUAUAAGAAAGAACUGUUGUUAUGAUGCUAGAAAAAGUGGUUGAAAUUAUCAUUGAUCAAACUUAUGCACUUUGCUAGCAUUCACACUUCAUAAAUUAUUUCUUUUAUCAUUUACCUACUCGAGGACGAGUAGGAAUUAAGCUUGGGGAUGCUGAUACGUAUCCAACGUAUCUAUUAUUUAUGAAGUAUUUAUGUUGUUAUAUUAUCAUUCUUGGAUGUUUUACAAUUAUUUUAUAGCAACUUUAUAUCAUUCCCAGUGCCCAGUGCCAGUUGUUGUUUCUUUCUUGUUUUUUACAUCGCAGGAAAUCAAUAUCAAAUGGAGUCCAAACACCGCAUAACUUUUUGGAGAUUUUUUCUGGACCAGAAGGAACCCAAUGGGCCUGUGCUGCACCUAGGGGUGCCCUAAGGGGGGCACAACCCAUCAGGGCGUGCCAGGCCCCCUGGCACACCCAGGUGGGUUGUGCCCACCUCGGUGGCCUCCCGCACCCCCUCUUUCCACUAUAAAUUCCCAAAUAUUCCGAAACCCUUCGGGGUUAACCUAGAUCAGAAGUUUCGCCGCUGCAAGGUCUCUGUAUCCAUGAAAAUCAAUCUAGACUCCGUUCCAGUAGCUUGCCGGAGGGGGGAAUCAUCUCCGGUGGCCAUCUUCAUCAUCCCGGCGGCCACCACGAUGAGGAGGGAGUAGUCCACCCUCGGGGCUGAGGUUUGUACCAGUAGCUAUGUGUUUGAUCUCUCUCUCGGGAUCUAUAUCAUGGGCUUUGUUAAUAUAGUCGGAUCAUAUGAUGUUUCUCCCCUCUAUACUCUUGUUAUGACGAAUUGAAUCUUUACCCUUGAAAGUUUUGUCUUGUCAAAUUGAAUAUUCAGAGAUGAGAACACAUGAUAUAUGUCUUGCAAUAUGAAUACUUGAGGUGACAAUGAGGUAUCUUAUUGAAUCACUUGAUAUGUGUUAUGGCAUUCAACUCGCAGAUUCCCGCAGUGAUAUUGGGGUAAUCUAUGCAUAGGGGUUGAUGCACGUUUUUCUAUGACGGAAACUUUGGGGUCUCUUUAUAGUUCUUUGUGUGGAUUGAGUAUUAUGAAUAUGUAUUUGCUUUGGUGUUAUUCUACUACGAACUCUAGGAUAGAUCGAACGGAAAAAUAGCUUUGUGUUAUUUUAGUACGAACUCUUGAAUAGAUCGAACGGAAAGAAUAGCUUUGAGGUGGUUUCGUCACCUACAAACAAUUCCUAUCUUUUUCCGCUAAUAGGAACUCGGGAGUGAUUCUUUAUUGCACUUUGAGGGAUAAUCAUAUGAUCCAACUAUGUUAGCAUUGUUGAGAUGUUGCACUAGCGAAAGUACGGACCCCAGGCCUCAUUUUAUAAGCAUUGCAACACUGUUUUUGUGCCCGUUUACUAUUUUCUAACUUGUUGUUUUUAUUUAUUCAGAUUAUAAAAAUAUAAUUCUACUAUCCAUAUCACACUUUUAUCACCAUCUCUUCGCCGAACUAGUGCACCUAUACAAUUUGCCAUUGUAUUGGGUGUGUUGGGGACACAAGAGAUUUCUUGUAUUUGCUUGCAGGGUCAUUUGAGAGAGACCAUCUUCAUCCUACACCUCUCACGGAUUGAUAAACCUUAGGUCAUCAACUUGAGGGAAAAUUGCUACUGUCCUACAAAAGUCUGCGCUUGGAGGCCCAACGCAUGUCUACAAGAGUGAAGUUGCAUAGUAGAUAUCACUCCUAACCCUUCUUCCUCACCUCUUCUUCUUCCCCAACAGACCACCGCAUGGGCCGUACGGAUCUUCCCCAACAUGCGAUUGGAUAAACAUACUAUAUGAACGAAAAUUAUGUGUCAGCGAUAGGAUGGCUGAGUUUGGAUUGAUCACAUGCGGUAGCACGUUUUCAGUGAGGGUGUGUUCCCUUGGUUGGGUUUGCGGCGUGCAGGAGCGACUAUGUGAGGGUGCGGUGCGACCGCGACAGCCGUGCGCAAGUGUACCUCCUUUUCAUUUUGAAAACUUUAGGCAAGCUUGGCAAAAAUGUGUGGUGAAGUAUGGCAAUGCAAGGCCUAGAUCCAAACAGGAUACAAGUACGUACGUAGGAGUACUACUUGUGUUAAAAAAGAAAGGUGGGGUUUUCCUUCGCGGGAUUGAUCGAUACAAAUCCUUGUUUUACAUGUCAAUUAAUUCGUAUUUUUUUCUCCAAUGCCCAAAGAGCUAACCAUCUCACUCCUCAUCGCUUGAUUAAUGCAUCGCCAUGCAGACAAACCUUCUCACUUCCGCAUGCAGGCAAGGGUAUGUUAAUGUCCUUGGUUGCUAGUACGAGGCAAACCCCAUCAAUUUUGCCUCGAUUAGUGUUAGUGGCCUUCUGCAAAUUGUAGUUUUGAUAUACUAGCCUUGUGUACAAAAAAAUGGAGGUAGUAACUAUUUGAAUUCCUUCCCCAUUGCGGUGACAUCGACGACAUCUCAAAUGUUGUGGUUUGGCAAAGUGCGUUCAAUAGAGAACACCAUUGAGGGAGACCAUGGAAAGUCGUUCGCAAGUGCCGCCUGCAAGCCGAGACAACCGCCUUAUAUGCAUCUAGUAAGUCCAUUGAACCAAAGGACGCGUAAAUGUACUAGUACUACACAAUAGCAUCGUCCGUCACAGAUAUUGAUUGUGAAUCCCACGGAGCUCCCACCCACCCAUGGCGACUCCCACGGCGCUCGUUGCUCCUACCUCUAGGGUUCCCGUCGGAGUACUCCCAUGGACGGCCUCAUCCAUUGGGACUUCUCCCCUGUCGUCGCAGUCGAGGCAUAGGUGCGUGCUUGGUUCGGAUCUACGGUUCACUUUGUUUACGGACCAAAAUCCAAGGAAUUUUUCUUGGAAGUCUACUUCUCAUCUGCCUCCUUCCUCUCUCGGAAGUAUGUGUGGGACUCGCCCUUCAAUCUUGUAUUGGUGGACUCAGUUCUAGGUUUAAGGUUUGCCGACUAGCUGAUCGGAGGUUCCGGUUUUUCGUGGCCUCAAACCGUGUGGGUCAUUUGUAUAUGGUUUAUUUGUCAUUUUCAUCUCCAUCGACAUGCUAAACCAUCCAUGAGCCGCAAUGCAUGGCAUGCGGAUGUGGAACUUGCGGGUCUAGCUUCUUCCCCGGGCCCGGCCAUCAAAUCUAAAUGGCUAUCUUCUAAGGCCAAGGCUCCAAUUGCUCCUUCUUCGGUGAGGGUCUUUGAAUAGCUGGGCAUCUUCUCAUCACCGACGGCGAGCUAUCCCGGUGAUCAUUCUUCGAUGCCAUUGAUUCAUUUUGGAAAGUUUAAUGUCCCGAAUUUUCAGGAUCAGCAGACGGUUUUUCGAAUCAGAUCUUUGGAUAUGCAGGUUGUUUCCCAUUAUGCGGCCAGAUUGCCUUACUUUCAGGGUGCUCGUUAUCUAGUAGGUAUUUGGGAUUCUAUUCAUGCGGAUAAAUUGUUAAUUAUUCUUGAUGGCUGGCAAGCGGGCUAUUCUAAUGAGGAUAUCAAACUGAUGACUGAUAUUUUGGAUAUAUAUAUAUAUAUAUAUGCCUCAAACAUUGCUCCCUUUGUGACCGUCUAGGUCACCCUCCUCAGGAUUGCACUGGUAUUUUCUGUAAGAAAUGUGUUGAUACUUCUGGUAACUGUACAUGUUUGGAACAAUUCUAUAAGGAGUCAAGUGGGCCAUGCAUAUUGGGCAAGGCCUUUGAGGCUCAAAUCUGCCAGGUUUCCUCCAAGGUUGGUCACUCGGCCUCGGACUGCCCUGGCUCCCGUAGAUGUCGGUUUUGUCACCUUUUGGGCCACAGAGGCUCAAAGUCUGUCAUGUGUGCAAAAUAUAAAAAUCAUUAUUGCUGGGUUCCUAAAAUCAGACCAAGUUCAUCUAUGGUGGUCUCUCAUGUGAGGCCGUUGGCAAAGGAUCACAUUAAUGCUGGUGUUGCCCGUGUAUCUAGGAGUAUCUCUCUGCAGCAGGUAGGAAAAGAGAAACAGAAAAUCCCGUAGUGCUCGGAUGUGAAAAUAUUCGAUUGCUUGCUUUCGCCUCCCUGGUCAGAGGGCACUCUUUUCCUCCUGUCAAAACCCCCAAUCAAGCUCUGUUCCUUCCACCUCGAGCUCAACACCUCAAUCUUCCCUUGCAAGCCAGUUGCCUCCUUCGCUUCAAUUUGGUUCAUCCUCUGGACCAGCAACCCAACCGACCAUCAUCAUGGCGAACAUCCUAGUUCAUCUAUUUGCCUUUGUGCUGGCGGGAUCGUCCUUUGAAAGAGGACCAGAUCAUCGGGUUCAGAGGUAGAUCAUGGUGGUCGAUGACCCACCACUCAAUCACAAUAGGUACGCCAUUGUUACUGUUGACCCUCCUAUUCCUGAUCAUCAGAAGGAGAUGUGGCUGGCUUAGGUUUGCCGUAUUAUCAUAGAGGAUCUUGAGUAUGAGCUUUUGGAUGGUCUUUUGUACCCUCUUGGGAUAGGUUGUGUUUUGUUCUCUGAUAUGGAAAAUAGAGAUGCUGCGAUUAGAGAGGGACCUCAUGCUCUGAUGGAUGAUUCCAACUUCUCUCUGGUUCCGCAUGAUGAAGGGAUUAAUAUGCGCAUGCCUGCUUUUGAAUAUGAAGUUUGGGUCAUGUUUUUAGCUUUUCGAUGGAUUAUUAGACUGAGCAUUAUAUCCAUAAAGUUGUGUCUCAUUUCGGGAAACUGUUGGUUUGGCCACACCCUGGGCACAACAAAGCGAGAGUCCUGGUCAAGUGUCACAUUAAGGACAUUGCUAAAGUCCCUCAGUCUUUUGAUCACCAGAGUUGGUAUGCUACCUGGGCUUGGACGUUCUUGGUCAGUUCCUGUUUAUGUUCUUAAUGGUAGAAACACAAUAUCUGGUCUAGUUGGUACUGAAGAGGCUCCUCCCCUGCUUAAUGCUUCUCCUCAUCCAUAUGAAUUGCCCUAUUACACACUUCUGCAGCAAGCUAGGAUUAAGGAGAUCGAGGCUCAAAAUGCUAUUAAUAAUGUUGCUUGGGAGGCUCAUGCCCCUACUCAAGAGGAACUGUAGGCAAAUGGGUGGAGGAUGUGGCCAGUUAUACCUCCACCUUACUCUGGUUUCAUUUUCAGAAGCUUCUUUCAGUAUGAUGGCCCAUCUCUGAUGGAUGGGAUAUACCCUGAACAUAAUGUAACUGAUAACUUGUCUGAUGCGUGGUCCUCUGCGUCUGAGGUUGAGUCGGUGGAGGCCGUGGCUGAUGCUUUUGUUAACGGCAAUCCUGCUGCUCGGAUGUUGUUCUUCAAAGCAGGAGGUGCUUCGGUCACUAUUGUUGUUGUCUCUGAUGUUGAUCUUCUUCUUUGGAUGGGACAGAUGUUCAAGAGGAUUUACACACCUGCUUUGGUGGAAAAUCCUUUCAUUGGAGGUGUUAUCUUUCCUCUGAACCCAUUUGAAAUCAUCAGAGACCAUUUACAGAGUUUGGGUCAGUUUAUGAGGGAUUUGCUCUUCCCUAAACCUGAUUUUCUCUCUAAGAUCUUUGCAACAAAGUUCAUCAUUGGGGCGCGUCAUUCAGUUUGCUGCAGUUGACUUGGUGGUGGUGGACCGAUCACAGGACCUGACUGAUGUAGCCUCUUCUACUCAGGGGAAGGCACUGCAAGUUCUAGCUUCUUCCUCCAAUGUUGUUGCGGCUUCCUCACGUAAAAAUAAAGUGCCUUUGGACUUCAAUGCUGUCAGGCACAGUACUCGUACUAACAAGUAAGAUGGUUUUAAGCUCUGUCAGAUCAAUGAUACCAAGCAGACUAAGUCUAGGGUCUAGCCACGUGUGACUCCCAGUGUCAAGAUCACAUCCAUGGCUGCUGCUCCUAUGUCUGACAGAGAGAUCCCUCCACCGCCAAUGUCAGUUGAAGAAAUUCAUAGCAUGGGCUCACACUAUGGGAUUCCACCUAAAGAUAUUACUGAAGACAAGUUGCUUGAUGGAUAGUAGUCAGUUGCCCCAACUCUUCCCUCCGCUCUAGGAGAUGAAUAAGUCUUGGAACGUGCUUUCCUGGAAUAUCAGAGGGAUUAACUCCGAUAAGAAACUUUUGGCUUUAAGAAAUGCGAUUGAGUCCAGUGAUUGUGCGGUUAUUUGUAUUCAGGAAACUAAGCGGGAAUCUUUUGAUUUAGCUUUCGUUAAAACCUUCUUCCCUAAGCGCUUGGAUAAAUUUGUGUUUGCUCCCUCAUCUGGUGCAUCUGGUGGCAUUAUUACUAUUUGGAAUAGUUAUGUUUUCUCUGGCUCACUGGUAUGCGUCGGUGCUAUACAACCAGUUUUUAAACCCUUUCCGCGACGGCAUUUGGAACCAUCGCCAAGUGAGUGUGGGCGAUAGGGUGUCCUUCCCACACGACCCAAAAACCGUCGAGGAUAUGCCCUCCUGGCAGACACGCUCGGCAAAAUGAGGUCGUGAGCGACAGAGCGAGCAAAUACGAUUAUACAUAUAGUAGUGCUCAAAAAAUACAAUUAUACAGGUGAAAUUGUUUCCAGUCAUAAGUACAUCCCACAUAGUCAGUCCCCGCUGAACGUUUCCAUUCGUAUAUACAUCCCAUACAGUCACUCCAAGGAAAACGUUUCCUUUCGCAGGUACAUCACUCACAAUUUUCCCCGUUAAAUCGUUUGUGAUAGUGUUGCCAUCACACACAAUAUUAACAACUUUAUUGUUUGCAUUAUUGAAUGCAUCACACACGGUGCAUAGAAGAAAUUGUGUGGCAAAGACUGUCCAUCACACACAGUUUUUAUGUGGUAAAUGUUUGCGCAAGGUGGCCUAACACAAACAGUUUUGAAGAGAAUGUCAUGUGUCAUUGUUCAUCGAUCGAACACGGUUUAUUCCUAGAAACUGUGUGCAUUGCCCUAGGUCAUCUCCCAUGGUAUUUUCUCAAUAACCAUUUGCAAUAGAAAAAACCAAUUAUCAAGCUAAGUCGCCAUUAGCAGGCUAAUUGCCCUAUUAUUAAAUCCAUUUAUUAAUCUAAUUGACAUUCAUAUUAAACACAUGCUAUAUUUCAUUCCCAUAUUAAGGAAGUAGGAUUUCAUAAUUGAAAUACAUCAGACUACAACAUGAUAUUGCUUCAGCACUCAGCUACCCCAUUACACAACUGCACCAGCACCAAGUUUCACAUGAAACAUCUAGAACCUUUUGAAAUUAGCAUCAUAGACGGUACAUAGACAGAUGCAUCUCAUCGGGAAAAUUGUUGAAGCGGAAGGCGAAUAUUGAGCCUUCAUUGAUGUUGAAGGUCUUUGCAACUUUAGGCAAGUGCCUGUAGAUGAUUGACCAUCCGUCCUUCGUACUCUUCAGGAACACUUCAAUAUUGAACCAUGGGUGUUGUAUGAAUACCUUCCUCGCCUCCUGACCAUAUAGGUGGUUUGAGAGGUAAUCAUCAGUGAACUGCUUUGGAAAGGCCUGAAAACAAGGAUGUGCAUAAAUAUCUUCUCUAUAUUGGAAAUGGGGCAAGGGAAUAAAAAAGACAAGGUAUAAUAAUUAGUACCAUCCUGUAGUGAACUGAUGUCUUCUUCAUUGUGCAGACAAAGAUCUUGUUGUUUUUUGUCGCUAACUUCUUUAUCCAAACAAUCUUUCUGAGUUUCUUGACUUGACUGAUAUUCAUGGACAACUCAUUUCCCCAUAUGCAGAAAGGGUGGAAAAGCAGGUCAAAACCUCUGACAGCACGACCUACAUGUGCAAGACCAAAUUGUUUAAAACCUAAGUAUUAGAAUGGUUCCUGUAAUUGCACAAUAAUGUGCUAUUAGACAAAGGACCAUGCAUUUGCAAACCUCGAUUGUAAACCUCAGUGCUUCCCAUUGCUUACCUACAACACAUAUAAGGUAGUUAGUGAUCAGGUUAAGUGAGGGUUCGCAUGCUAUUAAUAAAAUAUGUUGAUGAAAAAUAAGCACAUUAUAGAUUCAUCAGAUUAAUUCAAGCCACAUGGAAAACCCAUUUAUCCAAACCAAGCAUGAUUAAGAACUAGGAAAUAUAGCAAUUGUAUAUGUUUCCCAUGUAUUAAGUGCAACCAAAUUCGAUUAUUCCUCACAUGCACAACAAUACAAAAUUCUACCCACGACAAUUGGACAUUGCAUUGCAGAAUUGAACCAAGCAGUUAACUAAACACCACAACAAAUGAACCAAACAUUAACUGAGCACCACAUUGCGCAAUAUAACAUACUCCUAAUAGAAGAUCAAACAGUUAACCAAACCAAGCAUGCUUAACAACUUGGAAAUAUAGCAAAUGUAUUUGUUUCUCAUGUAUUUAGUACAGCCAAAUUCGAUUUAUUUCUCACAUGGUAUACAAUAACUGAAUGCACCUACAACAAUUGAACAUCACAUUGCGGAAUGGAACAAAACAGUUUACUAAACACCAUAACAAAUGAACCAAACAUUAACUGAGCACCACAUUGCACAAUGUAACACAUACUAGAAGAUCAAAUAGUUAACCAAACCAAGCAUGCUUCACAACUUGGAAAUAUAGCAAUUGGAUUUGUUUCUCAUGUAUUUUGUAAAGAAAAAUUCGAUUUAUUUCUCACAUGGAAGACAAUACAAAAUUGCACCCUGAAGAUUGAACAUCACAUUUGCAGAAUUGAACCAAAUAGUUAACUGAACACGAUAACUAAUUAAUCAAAUAGUUAAUAGUGAUCACCAUAUUGCACGACAUAUAGAACAUAUACACUAGAGCAACAGAUUGCAUGGUAAAAGUAGAUAGCAUAAUUCACUAGAAUUUGUUAAGGAAAGGCAGUAGCUAGCAAACUGAACAUGGGUCCUUGUAGUGAGCUAGUAAGACAAGCUACUCCUCAUUGUCGGAGAUAUCGAUGACGAUUGGCUCCUUGGACAUGGAAGAUGGCGAGGCCUUCACAUCGUGGGAUCCCUCGUCGUAGUGGUGAGUUGCCUGAGCCGCUCUAGGAUAGCACGGGCUCUCGAGUUGAGGUAAGCACGGGCACGCUGAGAAUACACCUCGUAGUCUUCGUCGAAGGCACCGAGGGUGGCCUCGAGAAAACGCCACGAACUAUCGUUUAAAGCAACCAACCGUGUCACGCCGUCGGCGCGCGAGGCAUCGACGGUGGCCUCGGCGACGAGGUGCUCCUCCAAGAUCUGGGGGUCGGCACGAAAUGGCAGCCAUCGCGACCUCAUCCGCACGUGCGGCCACGAUUUGCUUGUUUGCCAAAUGCUCCUUGAGCUUCUGGCUAUACUGCAUGCACCAUGGCUUAGGGCGGUGCUUAUUUGGUGGAGGGGUCGGUGAUUUGGGUGGAAGGUGCCGCACCGGCGGUCGGGGCAUGUGGGAUGUGGAAGGAGGACGAGGAUGGGGGUCUGGUGUGGAUUACCUACCUCGAUAGAUGAGGCCGAGCAGCAUGAAGGAGGGUCGCCAGCGAGGGGGGCGACACUGCAAGCAAGGAGUGAAGGUUUCAACUUGGAAAGGAAGGCAGAAACAGGGGAAAUGUGGCUUUUGGUAAGGGGGAGGGGCGGGGAGGUAGAUAUUUCCGCGGAAGCCGAAAAUUUUGAAUCGGUUCAGCGAAAAAACUAGCACGCAAAGUGUCAUCAGACAUGAUCCCUUAUUCAGUACUGUGUACGAUAUGUGAACAUCACAAAUGAUUCAGAUAGCUUAACCCGUGUGUGAUGUUGGAACGUCAAAAAUUUUGGUUCCAAUUUCCCUAUUACAGUGGUCAUCCACGUCAUUGCAUAAUUUGGGUACACAAAGGAGACUACAGCACAUCCACACUUCUUAAUCGAGCAAGUUCAGCAAUUAAACAGAGCUAGGUGGCCUAAACAUUACUCUAACAAAUUAAAGACCGACGCUCUUAAUUAAACAAAACAAAGAGUACUACUACGGCUAGUGCUCGUCGAUCUCCGCCGCCUCCUCCAUGUCCAGCUCGCGCCCGACGGUCUCCUGGGGAAGGGGCUCCAUGACAUCCAUCGCACCAUACUUGGCGAGCAUCUCGGCAUCCAUGUCCGCCAUCUCUUUGAAAAAGGCCACCACGAGUUGGGCAUGGGAAGCCGCGAUCUGGACUUGGACGGGCUCUGUCAUCACAAGGUAUGCGGCGGAGGAACGGAUGGCUGCUCGAAUGCUCUCGGCGAUUGCCAACUCUUCGGCCGUGGGUUGCCGACCGUUGUCGGAGAAGCUUCGUUCGAUUUGUGCGGUGACCGCCACGAUCUAGGCGUGCGCGGCCUCGACAUGGUCAUGGGCAGCCUCCAUCAGGGCUAAGGUUGCCGCUGUGGAAUGGACAACUAUUGUGCCUCUCUCGCCAGUUGCUAUCCCCGGGGCAGAUGUUGCUGCCGCCACGUGAGAAGCAACAGCGGUCGUUUGGGCUGCCUUGGCCGCCCGAUCGCAGAUUACGGUCGCGCUCAUGCACCUUGUUAGCACGCGCAUGGCGGCUGCGGCCGCGCUCUCACCGGAGUGGGCCGCCGAACUUUCCCUCGUGACGCGGUUCCACGUCCCCAUCUUUCACCGGUGAUGAUUGAACAGUGAAAUGAUAUUUGGGGAGCGAGCUAGUGUGCUUGACACACCGCUGUGGACUGUAGCCAAUGCACCUUCUCGCGUAAGCCAUAGGCGUACUAUACACCAACCGUGAUCUAGGAUAUUUUGUACUACAUCUCACACGGUUGGUGAUAAUAAACUGUGUGCGAUCUACUUGAUUUUUCAUCUUGAUUUGAAUUACAUAAUGGGGUCACGGCUGCAAAGGAUGGUGUUUGAAUUGCUAGAACUUCUAUCUGUAGUGAACAUGCAACUAUAGGUGUGUCGUCAAAAAAAUUGGAAUUAUUCAGGGUUCGUUUGGACAUUUUUAUACAUUAACUUGGUUUUCCAGGCAUUUCAAGUGCACAAUUCAAAAUUAAACCACAUGCACAUGCUCCGGUGCACCAAAAUGGUUUGUAAAAUCAUAUAUGUGUCCAUGAGUUGAUGCUUAUGUCCCAUUCAAGAAAUGGGCAUAAAUUUCAAACACCACGGCAUCGUGGCUCUCCGGCAAACAUUAAGGUGCUUGCUUUUGUAAUUCUAGUAAAUACAAAACUCGUCUGAAAUUCAUGAACCUUGGCAUGCUAUCAUGGAACGGCAUCAAGAUGCUGGGGUAAAAAAAUAUUGUCCCAUUUGGGGCAAGUUAUGGUAUAAGCUUCUCGCAAACCAGAGCUUCUGUCACAACAAGCAUGAUGGUUUCGGUAGGGAACGUGCCACCUUGGGGGACAAAAUGAUAUAUGUUGCCUCUUCUUACUUUCAAAAAAUUUCUCGUGUCAACAUAGAACAACAGGCGCAUUGUGCAAUUUUUUGGGAUUUUUCGGUGUUCGCAUGGACAUUUUUAUAAAUUAACUAAGUUUUCUAUGCAUUCAUGUGCAUAAUUCAAAUUUGCAUUACAUGCACAUGCUCCAGUGCAUAUAAACAGGUUGAAAAAUCAAAUGUGUGUCCUUGGUUGCAACCUUAGGUCCCAUGCAAGAAAUGGGAAUGAAUGCCAAACACCUUUGCCACCGUUGCUCGGCUGCCAACAUUGAGAUACAUGGUUUUAAAAUUCUAGUAAAUCUAAAACUCGUCUGAAAUUCAUGAAACUUGACAUGCUAUCAUGGAACGUCAGCAACAUGCAGUGGUAAAAAUAUUGUCUCAUUUGGGGCAGGUUGGGGUAUAAUCUUCUCACAAAAGAGAGCUUCUCGCAACAAGCCUCAUGGUUACGGUAGGGAACGUUUCACCUUCCUGGACGAAACAAUAUCUGUUGCCUCAUCUUGAUUUAAAUUUUUGCUCUAGUGUCAACAUAGAACAACAGGAGUGUUAUGUUAAAUUUUGGAAUUUUUCGGAGUCCGUUUGGACAUUUUUAUGUAUUAAUUGAGUUUUCAAUGCAUUUAUGUGCAUAAUUCAAAUUUCAACUACAUGUGCAUGCUCUAAUGCAUAUAAAUUGGUUGAAAAUUCAAAUCGGUCUCCUUGGUUGCAUGCUUAGGUCCCAUGCAAGAAAUGCGAAUGAAUGUCAAACACCCUGCCACCGUCACUCAGCCACAAACAUUGAGAUACCUAAUUUUUAAAUUCUAGUAAAUCCAAAACUCGUCUGAAAUUCGUGAAACAUGGCAUGCUAUCAUGGAGCGGCAUCAACAUGUUGUGUCCCAUUUGGGGCAGGUUUGGGUAUAAGCUUCUCACAAACCAGAGCUUCUCACAACAAGCCUGCUGGUUUCGGUAGGGAACGUUUCACCUUUCUGGACAAAACAAUAGCCGUUGCCUCUUCUUGAUUACAAUUUUUUCUCUAGUGUCAACAUAGAACAAGAUGAGUGUUGUGUUAAAUUUUGGAAUUUUUCGGGGUUUAUUAGGACAUUCUUAUGCAUUAAUUGAGUUUUCAAUGCAUCUAUGUGCAUAAUUCAAAUUUGAACGACAUGCACAUGCUCUAAUGCAUAUAAAUUGGUUGAAAAUUCAAAUCUGUGUCCUUGGUUCCAUGCUUAGGUCCCAUGCAGGAAAUGGAAUGAAUGUCAAACACCCUGCCACCGUCACUCGGCCGGAAACAUUGAGAUACCUGGUUUUUAAAUUCUAGAAAAUCAAAAACUCGUCUGAAAUUCAUGAAACCUGGCAUGCUAUCAUGGAAUGGCACCCGACAUGUCGUGGUAAUUGUUUUGUCCCAUUUGGGGCAGGUUUGGGUAUAAGCUUCUCACAAACCAGAGCUUCCCACAACAAGCAUGAUGGUUUCAGUAGGGAAUGUUUCACCUUUCUGGAUGAAACAAUAGUCGUUGCCUCUUCUUGAUUUCAAUUUUUUCUCUAGUGUCAACAUAGAACAACAUGAGUGUUGUGUUAAAUUUUGGAAUCUUUCGGGGUUCGUUAGGACAUUCUUAUGCAUUAAUUGAGUUUUCAAUGCAUUUAUGUGCAUAAUUCAAAUUUGAACUACAUGCACAUGCUCUAAUGCAUAUAAAUUGGUUGAAAAAUUGAAUAUGCGUCCUUGGUUGCAUGCUUAGGUCUCAUGCAGGAAAUGGGAAUGAAUGUCAGACACCCUACCACCGUCACUCGGCCGCAAACAUUGAGAUACCUGCUUUUUAAAUUCUAGUAGAUCCAAAACUCAUCUGAAAUUCAUGAAACCUGGCAUUCUAUCAUGGAAUGGCACCCUACAUGUCGUGGUAAAUAUUUCGUCCCAUUUGGGGCAGGUUUGGGUAUAAGCAUCUCACAAACCAGAGGUUCUCACAACAAGCCUGAUGGUUUCGGUAGGGAACGUGCCACCUUUGGGAACGAAACGAUACCCGUUGCCUGUUAUUGCUUUCAAAAAAAAUUCUAGUGUCAACAUAGAACAACAAGAGUGUUGUGUUAAAUUUUGGAAAUUUUCGGGGUUCGUUUGGACAUUUUUAUACAUUAGCUGGGUUUUCUAGGCAUUUUACGUGCAUAAUUCAAAUUUGAACUACAUGCACAUGCUCCAGUGCAUAUAAAUUGGUUAAAAAUCAAAUCUGUGUCCUUGGGUGCAUGCUUAGGUCCCAUGCAAGAAAUAGGAAUGAAUUGCAAACACUAGGGCACUAUUGAUUGCCGGCAAAACGUUGAGAUACUUUGUUUUUAAAUUCUAGCAAAUCCAAAACUUGUUUGAAAUUCAUGAAACUUGGCAUGCUAUCAUGGAAUGGCACCCGACAUGUUGUGGUAAUUUUCGUGUCCAUUUCGAGAUAAGGCGCACUUGAAUAACAGUCAACAAAGGCAUUUUGAAACAACUAGCUGCCACUCUAACAUCGCAAAUGUUUUAGAUAGAACACCCAUAUGUACACUGACAGCUUCCCCAGUAAGGCAAGGGAAAAUGUGCAAAGCAGGAUUUAUGCAGCUCUUCAGCGCAAACGUUUUAGAUAGAACACUUGUAUGCAAAGUGAGAGCUAUGGUCUUCCGCAGUAAGCCAAGGGAAAAUUCACUAUGCAGGAUUUGUGCAUCUCUUCAAUGCAAACGGUUCAAAUUGAAUAAGGUAUGAAAAGCGAAACUUCGGCGCUAAGCCAAGAGAAAAUUUGGCAAGCAAGAUUUCUACCUCCCUUCAAUGCAAACUGUUUUUUCGGAUGACCCGUGUGCAACCACGUACAGACAAUUUGGUAAGAUUUGCAUUUGUCAUAUUGGGUAUAUGGCCAUUUGUCAAACUAGAAAGAUUGACAUUUGUUGAUCUAGUAACAUUGCCAUUUGUCAAUACUUGUAACACCGGGAUUUGUCAAAAUAUGCAGCUAAAACUCACUAGCACUAUCUAAUCUUUGCAACUAAAAUUCAGUAAUUAAGCAUAGAUUUCAUUCAUGGAUUAAGCAGUCGUGCUUAAUUUAUACAAACAGUUCAACUCGACAGCUGAACCGACCAAACGUUUCCCCAAUUGUAGCCAACCAUGUACAGAAAUAGCUAGUUCAACUAUAUAUACUAGCUAAUUUUAAGUACAUUGUACAGUUCCAACACAUCUAUAGUCAGAUGAACUGAAUAAAAUAGCCCCUAAAUACUACUACGGAGGGGCUUUAUACUACUUUCGGUAGCCUCUCCUCUGCCGAGUGCACUCAGUAAGAGGAAGAGGAGGACGAGCCUACCGACAAGCUGGACAACUACAAUACGGUGCCUGCCGCUACUGCACCUUCAACGACGCUCACCUCGAACGCCCUCAGCCGCUCUAGUCGACCACUCUCAAAGCGGUCGGACUGCUCGUAGAUCUCCUGAUUCCUUGUCUUUGCGUCGGCAUGUGCCACGGCCACGGUGGUGGUAAGGCUCUUUGCAUGCUCGACGAGGCGCUCCUCCUCCUCCCGUAGGAACUCGAUGUAGCGUGCAAGGUCGCUGCCACACGUGUGGGCCUCCACCUCUACCUCCCUCCUUCGGGCGGUGGUGGCGGAGUGGGUGAUGAUCUCGGUAGUCGACAGUGGGCUGGCAGCCAUGGCGGCCUAUGAUGGGGUGGUGGCCACAACCACCACCUCCCGCCUUCGGGCCGCGGUGGCGGAGCGGGUGAUGGCCACGGUGGCCGGCAGUGGGGUGGCGGCCACCUCCCUCCUUUGGAUCGUGGCGACAGAGUGGGCGAUGGACCUGACUUUCGAUGGAGCUAUGGCGGCAACGGCGGCCGGCAAUAGCUGCUGACGGGUACCGGUGGCCGAGCAUGUGCUGGGUCUUCCGCGCACACCCAACAGGGACGCCACGCGCACUACACUACGCGGGGACUACGCCGCCGCCGCGGUGUAGCCUCCCAGCUAGAACUGUGCUUUGAUGAUGGCGGAGUGGCUGAGCGACGACGACGGUCCGGUGCCAUUGCCGAUUGUGGGAGAAGCAAAGGAGAUAAGCUAUAGGGAGGGAGGGGAAAAUGCGACGCAGGACUCGCCGGCCAUGAGGGUUUAUAUAGUAGGCUAGUAAGCAUUGAGAUUUUGGGGGAUUUCACCAAGUUGGGCGGGAAGCUUGCAUGGAAACCUACACGGUUGCGCGGGAACGGGCACACUCACCACCGUUUGGCCAAAAGAACGCCCCCGCGCACUGCUCAAGCUUGAGUUCCAACCGUCUACGGCAGCAGGGUGACAAGAAAUGCGGGAGGAGGACGAAAGGACACGUACACAUACGUUUAAUAAAAAAACGUUUGUGAUUUAAUUACCUACUAUACCCCCGUCCUGGUUUAUAAGUAUGAUUUAAUUAAUAAAAUACGAAUGCAUGUCGCCAAAGAUUAUAUCGUUGGAUUCGUAUUUGGGCAUAGUUUCCAGUUAUAUAAUUUUUGUAACAUCAUUAACAUUUUGUUGGUUAAAUUUAAGGUUAUAUACCAGCAAGCGUUUGCCCAUCACACACACGACUUAUUCCAUCACAAACAGCUAGGAUGGAUCAACUGUAUGCCACGUAUCGCACACGCAACUCUAAUCUGAUUCAUGCUUGAUGUCUCCGACAUCGCUCGCACAGUUUGUCUUAUUUGCCACGUAUCACUGUGUCGGCCUCUACUCGCGUCCCUCGGCAAGCUCUGCUCACCGUUAGGCGCCGCGGUGCGCUGUGCUCGCCGUUAGGCGCCGCAGUGUGAUGUGCUCGCCGUUAGGCGCCACAGUGCGUUGUGCUUGCCGUUAGGCGCCGUCGGCGCGCUCGGGUUGUGGACAGCUUUUCCUUGUGUGUUCAACUGCUCGGUUGAGGCGACCGCGGAGCGCUUUGCUCACGUCCCUUCACAUGCGCUCUGCCAGCGGUUGGGCCCGCGCACGAUCACGUCGGGGGCCUCAUAUGCAUGCGCUUGCGCCGCGCGCGUUGCCAUGCGAUGUAGUUACGUGCGGCACGAUGGAGUUACGCACUGCGAAUUACAACUGCCAUUAGGGCGUGCCGAUCGAUAUUCCAGGCCGUCCGGCUUCCCCUUUAAUUCCUGCGUCCAUUAUAACCUUAGUCUCUUCAACCUUUUGAUCGCAUCCCACAACACAACAAGCACACCCACGAUGACAUAUAGAGAGGGGAUGUCUAGCGGCGCUCCGAUGGAGUUCGGCGAGCGUAAAGUGGAGACCCACGCGAGGGAGACGGAUCUCUCGGUGGUGUACACCAUCGACCUGGCCGUGGUGGACAACUACAUCAACACCGUUGAGCAGUUGCUUGCUGGAGAGAAGUACAAGGUGGUCAGCAUCGACCUCCAGUACACCGCCGGUCUUCCCGGCAAAGAUCAGAAGGUUGUCGUCACCAAGUUGUGUGUGCGCCAUCAUGUCCUCAUCUACCACUAUUGCAUGGCCACAGAGUCUUGCGUCUAUUUCGCCAGGUUGUCAACAGCACCGACUACAAGUUUGCUACAGUGGAAACCACCGACGAUGUAAAAGCGCUCGGGGUUAUGGGCUUGGCCUGCAAGAACUUUGUUGAAAUCCGUGAGCACUAUAGGGUUUGGGCAGCACGAAGAAGGACUCCCUGGUUGAACUCACCUCGGCCAUCAUCGACCCCUACUACAAAAAGAUGUAGGAUGCACAGAGAACAAGUCCCGUAUCCUGGCACAAGGCCUGGAUGUGGUGACUGGAUGAACCUCACCUCAGGUUCGUAGCCAAGUGCGUGUACACAUGAUACAAGAUGCACAGGUGGACCGUUGACAUGAGGAAGUGCCUCCUUACCUAAAUCGACAAGCCCGGAUCGAGCCACAAGCAGAGCAAGCGUCACAAGCAGUAGAUGAUGAUCAGAUGAUCAUGUAUGCUAGUUAAUCAUGCAUGUAAUAUAUAGUUUACUUUGGUGUGUGUGGCAUGCACAUAGUAGCCACCUAUGCAAUUAUGCUUGUAAUAGUUUACUUUGGUGUGUGCAAAUACCAUGGUUGUAGUAGCCACCUAUGUAAGUGGAUGUUUAAUUUUGUUAUGCAACCAUGUCCUUAUAAGUGUGUACAUAUUAUAUGUUGUUGUUCUGUAUGCAAUCCCAUCGCACAACACACAGUCUUAUUAGCAGCAAUUGACUAUGUUAUUAUCGGUCUUCGCACACAUUUCUGGUUACAGACCGAUUUGCCGCGUAUCACACACAUCUUGUUAUAUUGAACCGUUUAUGUUCUCUUGUCUCAACACAAACAGUUCAUCCGAGUGAACCACGUGUCGUAUAUCGCACACACCUUGAUCUGGCUGACCAUUUCUUUUGUGUUGCCUAAUCACGAACAAUUCAUCCUAGUGAACCGUAUGAUGUUUAUCGCACACACACCUUCAUCUGGCUGCCCGUUUCUUCUGUUGCUCCUCAUCGCAAAUAGUUAAUUGCACUGAAUCGUAUGCCCUACAUCACACACAAAACUAAAAUCUGAACCGUGUUUAAUGCAUCCAUCAUCGCAAACGUGUUGCACCUUUUUUGACGGGUUUUUUACACCACUGUUUGUGAUUAAUGCAUCGCACACAGUUUCGUCAAAGGGUCUUUGAUCAUAGUGUCGCAUUAGCAGCAUCCUGCACUAGUGGCUCUCCAUGGCAUGUUAGUUCUUUUCUUGUUGGGAUUUCAAUUGUCUCUACACAAUCGGCUGAUACCUGGAAUCUAGUUAAUGUUUACGACCCAUGUGCUGGACAAGAGAGAAUUAACUUUACUUCAUUGCUUUUUGACCUGCAUAUUCCUGAUGAUGAAAACCGGCUACUCUUAGGAGACUUUAACUUCAUCAGAUCAACCACUAAUAGAAAAAAGCCUGGGGGGAAUGCCAAUGAUAUGUCGUUGUUCAAUGAAAUCAGUAGGGUGCAUUUGUUGGUGGAACUUCCUAUUAAAGGGAGAUCUUUUACAUGGAGUAAUAUGCAGGAAGACCCGCUUCUGGAGCAGCUUGACUGGUUUUUCACCUCCUACAACUGGACCACCUCCCUCCCAAAUACUGUGGUGAUGCCCAUGGGCAAACCAGUGACUGACCACAUACCUUGUGUGGUUACAAUUGAGUCUAAGAUCCCCAAAUCUAAAUUAUUCAUAUUCGAGGACUUGUGGAUCAAUCUGCCUGGCUUCUCGAAGGUUGUUCAACGUUCUUGGUCCAAGCCUUGUUUUUCCCCAAACUCAGCCUCUCUCAUAUGCAAAAAACUCAAAACCCUGCGGUAUGAUCUCAAACAGUGGAGCAAAGGGAUUUCCAGGCUCAGGAUCUUGAUAUGUAACAGCAAUGAGGUCUUGCUUUUCCUUGAUACCUUAGAAGAUCAAAGGGGCCUUUUUCCUCUGGAAGCAAAAUUUAGAUGUGUUCUCAAAAAACAUCUGAAUGAGUUGCUUCGCCACCAGAAUGAAUAUUGGAGGAAAAGAUGCACAAUACAGUAUUUCAGAUUUGUAGAUGAAAACACUAAGCUCUUCCAGGCUCUAGCGACUAAGAGGUACAGACACAACUCCAUUGUGUCCUUGCAUCAUGGUGACGUGGUUGUGCUUGAUCAUGCAGGUAAAGAGGGGAUCCUAUACAAUGCUUACAAGGAGAGAUUGGGAACAUCAAAACCCACCACCAUGAAGUUUGACCUCAGCAGAAUCAUACGAAGGGUGGAGGGUUUGGAAGAACUCUCAUCCCCUUUCUCCCAUUGUGAGAUUGAUGAGGUGGUGCGCAGUAUGCCACCUGAUCGAGCACCCAGACCCGAUGGCUUCAAUGGGUGUUUCUUGAAGAGCUGUUGGUCGACUGUUAAGGGGGACUUUUACAAAUUAUGUGAUGAGUUCUAUGAGGGCAGGCUGGAUAUUACUAGUAUUAGUGAUGGGUACAUCACCCUAAUUCCCAAGACGUCCUCGCGUGAAUCUGCUAAUGACUAUAGACCGAUCACACUGCUAAAUUGUUGUCUCAAAAUUGUCACCAAGUUGCUUGCUAAUCACCUGCAGAAAAUGAUUCUGAAAAUUGUGCACAGGAACCAAUAUGGCUUCCUCAAGGGGAGAACUAUCCACGACUGCUUGGCCUGGACUUUCGAGUUCAUCCAUCAAUGUCAAACUUCUUCACGAGAGAUUGCUCUGUUAAAAUUGGAUUUUGCCAAAGCGUUUGACACAAUUGAACAUGAGCCGAUGAUGAAUAUUAUGAAGCAUAUGGUGUUUGAUGAGAAAUGUCUUGGUUGGAUGAAAUCAAUUUUUUGUUUGGGGAGUUCUUUAGUUCUUUUAAAUGGUUGCCCGGGUAGGAAAUUCAAAUGCAAAUGUGGCAUGCGCCAAGGUGAUCCCCUGUUGCCCCUGAUCUUCGUGCUUGCCACGGACUUGCUGCAAGCGGCCAUCAACGAUGCCUUCAUGCGCUAGUUAAUCCACCUGCCCUUCCCCUCACCCAGUGUGUCCGACUACCCAAUUGUGCAAUACGCUGAUGAUACAAUUCUUCUCGUGCCUGCCUGUUCGACUCAAACUGCCAUUAUGAAAGCUAUUCUUGUGGAUUAUGCUGACUCGGUAGGCCUCAAGAUUAACUUUGACAAGUCCACUCUCAUCCCGAUCAACAUGUCCCAAGGUAAAACGGAUGAGUUAGCUCGCAUCUUUGGUUGCAUGAUGGGCACGAUGCCGUUCACCUAUCUUGGUCUUCCCAUGGGGACCACUAGACCAUCUGUGCUCAAUCUUAUGCCACUGGUCCAUAGUGUUGAGAGGAAACUGUCAACGGCCUUGUCCUUGAUGUCCACCAGUGCAAAACUCACGUUGGUCAACUCUGCGAUCACUUCUAUGCUCAUCUAUGCCAUGUGUACCAUCAAAUUGCCUCCCCGGGUGGUUGAGCAUCUAGACAAGUUGUGCAGUAUUGUCUCUGGGCAAAAAACACUGAUGAUGGUGUAAAAUCAAACUCCUUGGUAGCCUGGGACCUGGUUUGCAGACCGAAGAAGAAAGGAGGCCUGGGCAUUAUUGACAUCAAUACUCAAAAUGUGGCCCUCCUACUCAAGCACCUCUUCAAGUUCUAUAAUAAAGAAGAUGUACCUUGGGUUUCCCUCAUAUGGAGUGCUUACUACUUUGAUAAAGUACCACACACUUGCAACGCGAUUGGCUCGUUUUGGUGGCGUGAUGUUAUAUCACAUAGUGAUAUUUUCAGAGGGAUCACGUCGGUGGUGAUUGGAGAUGGCUCCUCUUCUCUCUUCUGGAAAGAUUUGUGUCUCAGUGAUGGGGAUGAACACUCUCUGAUGCAAUCUUUCCCUAGGGCUUUCUCCUUAUGCACGGAUGAAGAUGCAAUAGUAAGCUCUGUUCUGCAGGCCAGUGAACCAAGUGAGAUGUUCCAACUCCCACUCUCUAUGCACGCUCGGGAGGAGAUGAGAGAGAUAUAGAAACGGUCUGCUCAUGUCUCGCUAGACAUGGAGGAGAGUGAUGUUUGGGUCUGUUCGAUUGCUAGUUGAUUCUCCUCCAGCAAAUAAUAUGAGCACUGCUUCAGAGAGGUGGAGGUCGACGAGGCCUUCGUCUUGCUCUGGAAAGCCAAAAGCCCCAUCAAAUUCAAGGUGUUCUGCUGGCUCCUGAUGGUUGAUCGCCUGAACACACGAAACAUGCUCAAGCGUCGCCACUAUAACAUCACACACAACAACUAUGCAUGCCUGUUGUGUGACCAACCCCCGAAGGAGACUGUGGAACACCUCUUCUUUCAAUGCCCGUUCAGUACGCGAUGUUGGGCCAAAUUGGGGAUUAAUUGGCUUAACUAUGACAACAGUGUCAGUUAAAUUCGUGGUGGUAAACAGCAGUGGAACCAGCCUCUCUUUGUGGACAUUUUCAUGUUGUCCUCUUGGAGUAUUUGGAAGGAAUGAAAAAAAUAAGCAUUUUAGGGGAGUGCCGCACUCUUUUAGCUCCUGGCUGGCGCGCUUCAAGAGUUUAAUGGAGCUACUUGCUCACAAUUGUAAACACGAGUUACACCCCUUCAUUUCCAUGUUCCUCCAAGGCUUGUGAUUUGCCUUUGCCUUUUGUAACCUCCACUGAUUAGUGUAUCUGUCUUGGUUUUGCUUUUAGUUUUAUUCCUGGCUUGGGGGACCUUAACCCCACCCUGUAAGCUAUGUAACCCUGUGAUAUGAGUUAAUACAAAGUUAGUGGGAGCCUCUCCCACUGUCAUUUAACCCUAAAAAAUAUCGUCGUCCGUCCAGCUUAGUUCGGUAAGGUGGUUUCUUGAAGAAGACGAUGGAGAAGCGGAGUCAGCGAAGAGUGAAAUGAUGGUUGCUUCGUCCAUGCUUUGUGAUUUGAUGCCUCACUACUUUGUGAUUUUUGAUAGAAAGGACAGGGGAGUAGACUAUGUGCUCUAUACUGUGCAUGCGUCCAAGCACGGGAGAAAGAGGAGAGAGGUUGCAUUUUUCUAUUCCUUCAAUCAAUCAAUUAGGGAGCUUCGGUUCCUGGCUUUGGCAGCGCCAUCCAGAAUGGUUCCCAUCGAUGCCAAAAGCUAUUUUCACAUUUGGCUACACAUUGUGGAUGCCCUUAACCGUACCACUUGGUUUUGCUCCUGUGUGCUAUCUAUACAAAUCUUGAUUAUAUUGAUCUAAAAAAUAAUAGUAUCGAGAUUAGUAAAAAGGAGGUGAUUUUGCAGCGCGGAUGGCGGGGGAGGUUUCUUAUUUUUAGAGGACGUUGGCCUGGCGGUUUGCUAACAUGCGGUCUCACGUGUCAGUGCUUUACCAAGCCGAUCUGCGUCCCACAUGAGGCGGGACAACGGUAGAAGCAACACGUGGUUAACUUGAAAAAGAUGAGGGAGAAGCGGAUUCAGCAAUGAGUGAAAUGAUGGUUGCUCCAUCCCUCCAACUUCUUUUUUAGCAUUAUUACUUCGUCCCUCCAACUUAACUGCGAGAAAGGUGCAGCUUUAUGAUUUGACGCCUCAUUGCUCAUUACUACGUCGACGCCUUGACUAGGGUGCUUCAUCCCUGCUGCUCUGCACUAUUAUUUCGAUAUGGCACGUGGACCCGAUUGCUUGAUGUCCCACAUGUUGGCGAAAGGGACUUGUGUAAUUGAGACAAACAAUGAGACAAAGAGAAAGAGCUUUCUUCUUCUUUAGGUGGGUCCCACACGUAAAUGAGAUAUGAAGAUAGGGGUAAAAAUUUCUAGUAAACGCCCCACAAACAGUCAAAGUCCUUUGACUGGACGAAAAUGGCACCAAAUAGUAUCCAUGUAAGGGAGCGAGACGGAAGAGGAGCAAAUGUAAGCAGGCUUGGGAAUUAGGGUAAAUCUGAGUAGUGGAAUCGAGUUUAGGGCUGAACUGGAAUGUAAUUGACCCAAAAAUAAAUGGCAUGAUGGCAACUUUAACAUACUCCCUCUGGUUCAAUAUGUAGUGCGCAUGGUUUGCAGCUCCAAGACCAAGGCAUGACGUGGACUUGUACUUUUGGACCACAAUAGCCCUGCCUGCACACACUCUGUACGCAUGCAUGUGGAUGUGGUUGCAUCUCCUGUGAACAGCUGAGGGUAAUUGCUGUCCAAUGUAGCUCACGCGCACUACAUUGUGGAAUUCUAGCAAAAAACUAAUUCGCACUAGAUAAGGGAAUGGAGGGAGUACAAUGAUAGCAAAAUUAUAAGAUUUAUGUAGUGUUCACGUGGCAAAUUUCUGCGUUAAAAAAAGAUUGUGCUCGUGAGACGACAGGAAUUUGCCAUGUCAAUAAAUAUGAUAUUUUAUAUAAAAAAAUACCAUGGUAUGUUAAAUAAUUUGCCUCGCAAGUUUCAACAAAUUUUCCAUGGUCUUGAAAACAAAAACAAAUUCAAAAUUAUAAAAUUUAUGCAGUGUUCACGUGGCAAAUUCUGCUUGUGAGACGACAGGAAUUUGCCAUGUCAAUAAAUAUGAUAUUACAUAAAAUAAUAAUUUAUCAGGGUAUGUUAAAUAGAUUUUCCUUAGCAAGUUCAACAAAUUUUCUAUGGUCCUGAAAACAAAAAGAAAUUAGUUGUUAAAAGACAUGCUACGUGCAAUCAAACUACCUUGUUCUAAUCAGUAAAGUUGGCAUGCGACAAUAAAAUUGUCAUGGUCUAAAUAAUAAAAUUGACAUGACCUAAUUUAGAAAGUUACCGUGGUAUUUAUAAUAAAAUUGUCAUGGUCUUGAUAAUAAAGUUACCAUGCUAUCUACUAUAAAACUAUCAUGGUCCAAUUAAUAAUUUAGUCAUGGUCUAAUUAGUAAAAUUUACAUGUUCUUAAAAAUAAGAUUGCCAUGGUUCCUACAAUAAAAUUGCCAUGGUCUAUUGAACGAUUAAAUAUGAAAUUACUAUUAUUUGUUCAAUAAAAAAUGCCAUGGCAUAAGCACUAAAUUUGCCAUGCUCCAAUAAGCAUUUACAAAGAAAAACCAUGGUAUGAGAAAUAAAAAAAAAGUUCAUAUAUUUGCACAUGCCCACCACAAAAUGAUUGUUUUAAAACAUUGGGAAAAUAGCCACGUGUAAAGAAAAAAAGGGGAGAUAUUUUUCCCACAUGAACACCACAAAUGAUUGUUUUUAAAAAUUGUGAAAAUCGCCACGUAAAAAAGAGAAAAGGGGAAGCAGCUGGGAUGCAAUCUCAGGUAUCCCAAAUGAAAGCUCGCGUCCCUCAAAAAAAAAGGAAUGGAAGCUCGCGGUGCCCGGUACAUUGUGCAGGUAUGGGUGUUGUGGGAUGGAGGCCGGCUGUAAAAUAAGAGCGUCCAUGCCCAUGCUCUGUUCCAGAGAACGAUUUUUAGAGCUAAGGUGUAUUCCCUCCCUUGCUUCAAGAUAUGUGGCCUCAUCCAACGGCAAUAAACAUGUUCGCCGGAAAGUCUGAAAAAUCUGACUUCGUCUGAUUGCUUUUUUCGUAAAAAAAAUUACGUGGAUUUACAUUCUGCGAACAUACUAACAUAUUUCGACGACCGCCACAAAAAAAAGACAUAUUUCGACGACGUAUUUAGUACUCCCUCCAUCCCAAAAUAAGUGUCUUGACCUUAGUACAACUUUAUACUAUGUUUAAUAUAAAGUUGAGACACUUAUUUUAAGACGGAGGAAGUAUGUAGCAGGUGAGCAUAGCCUAUAAAUAAAGUAAGAAAAACAGCGAAAACAGUACCGUAGGCAUAGGUACUUGGACAGUUGGACGAGAAAGAUGACUUGAAUACCUCAAUACAGGAAGGAGAUCGAGGACAAAUGUACUGGGAGGGCGGCACAUGAGGGACACGAUACAUACGGUUUGUCACGUAGCCCCUGGCACGCACACACGCACAGCCAGCCCAUGGCGACGGACCAAUCAUGGCCGCGCCACAUCACACCGCCCAUCCCUGCCACCCGUACGGACCACGUGGACGCCUCAGCCCUCGAUGACACGCGAGGCCGGCCCGUUCCGGCCCGGGCCCGAGCGACACCACGCCGUUCUUGCAGGGCAGGCCCGCGGCUCCAUUAAGACCCAGCUCAGCUCCGCAGGCUCGGGCUCGACGGUGCACCGGCGGGAGCCGCUCCUCCUGUCGCCUAGCGCAGGGGCAGGGCCGUACUUUGGCUCCCUCCCUCCUCCAUCCAUCCGGUACCGUGGCAGGGCCAGCGGCCUGUAACGGCGUGGGGCCAGUGAGGGCGACGCGAGUGAAAAACGGGCACGGACUCUUCUGUCCCGACUGCGCGGCCGAGAGUUGUUUUUUUACCGCGCUCCUCACUGUGCAUUGGUCCCCACUGAGUUUAAUCCGGCGUGCCGCUCAGAUCGGCCACGUGCCAUUUAUUCCCCCCACGUUCCUCCCACACUCCCCGUUCCCUGUUUCGAAAUAAACAAUGGCCCAUGGCGAGGGAGCUCUUAUCUUUUCCAGGAACGCCAAGCCCCUCGCCAUGGACGGAGAAAUUCUGCUGCCGCUAUCUCGAGCUCCAGCACAACUGUAUCGAUUAGUGCCAAGUCGGUCGCGGUUUGAGAGAUUUUGAUAGCUGCAUUGCAGCUCGGGCGUCACGAUUGGGUUCCAGGACACAUGAUUUACCUACCGAGAUGGAACAGAGAACCCAUGACAUCAUUUCAUCCAGGCUUGUGUUGCAGAGGAUCACGCGGUAAGUAUGAUUAGGAGAUGAUGAAGGUUACAUACACUCGGAGGUUAAGCGCGGUUUCCCAUGGACAGAAAGCAAGAGAGACAUGCAUGCAACGCACCGCGCGCAGGAAAGAACACACGGUACUCGACGAAGGGAGCGCUCUGAACAUUUAUCCAUGCCUGUUACAUUUAUCAGAGAAGGGAUCGAAAGAGAACAAAAGAAACAAACACACGAAAGAAUCCCGAGGAGAGGAGAAAGCCAAGCGAGAAGAGAAUAGAACAAAACGAAUGUGCCUCCACAAGUAGACAGCGAGAGAGAGAGAGAGAGAGAGGCAUUACAGCAUGGUUUAAAUCACCAGAGUGCCAUCAUUAUCACCAACACACUAACCGCUCAACUAACUUGAGAAACAAGAGGACAAACUAGAGAGGAGAGGCUAACUAAUCGAACCCACGAGGAAGAUGGGGUGAAAUUUACAACGAAUACACGAAUCAUGCACGAAGCGUGGGUCAUGCCGGCGAGGAGGAGCUGCCGGAGGCUGACGACGAGGAGACGCUCGCCAGGACCUCGGCUAGAGCGGUCAUGGCGCGCACCUGCAUCUCCAGCGCCUUGAUGUAGUCGGAGGCCUCGCUCAGGAGCGCCGGGAACGGCAGCUUGUGGCAGCCGGGAACCAGCCGCCCCAGCACCUUCGCCUUCUUCGCCAGCGCCGGUGCCUUCCCCGGCUGCGGCUGUGCGGCGGCAGCGACCGAGGAGUGGCGCGCGGGCGGUGUGGCUGGGGCGCGGAGGCGCGCGCGGUGGGCGGCCUGCAGGCGCCGGCGGCGGGAGGCGAGUAUGGCGCGGCUCCAGCGCGAGCGCCCGCGGGCCGCCACCGCGAGCGCGCGGUCGGCCGCCUCCCGCACGGCCCGGCCACGCGCCGGCGCCGUGGACGCGGACGAUGACCCGCCUCGGACAAGGCGGAGCGCCUCGAAGAGCUUGGACGAGUAGAUCUCGUGCUCGCGCCGCGUCCGCCACUUGGAAGGCUGCGCCUCCGUCCCCGGGCCGGCGGACGCUGUGGACUCACCCCCGGCUGCCCUUUUCCGCUUCCGCUCCCUCUCAUCCACCGCCGUCGAGCUCGACGUGGACGCCAUUGCAAUAUUCUCGCAAGAGCUCGGCGGGUUGCACAGAAACCGCCAACGAAGAGCAGGAUUAGGCAGCCUGUGAUCUGAUUGUCUCUCCUGAGCUGGGUCUGCUCUUGCCUUUGAGUUGGGACUUGGGAGAGGAGAAGAGGUGGGACGGGGGAGGUGGGAGAGGUUGGGGGAUUGAAUAUAAAGGGGGCGGUAUUGG
Molecule: long non-coding RNA, 65948 nt
Filed under: Triticum aestivum (bread wheat)
Lineage: Eukaryota; Viridiplantae; Streptophyta; Magnoliopsida; Poales; Poaceae
Description: long non-coding RNA (TAES_LNC003357)
Source: RNAcentral